AGCAUUUACACAAGGAUGUAAAAAAAAGUGAACAUGUACUAUCGCCUAUUUUUUUUACAGAUUAAUCCUUUCCCUAUUUCCCCAAAUCUUCUCUAAUUCUCUUUGCUGCUAAGUUCGGUACUCGAUUAGGAUGUAAUCUUGUUUUUUCCCCGGUGUUUACUCAUUUUUGGCCCUUCAUAACAUCCACGAGUAUGUAAUAGGGAUUAAUGAACCAACCUGUUAAAUAAAGAUUUCAUUUCUUUUUCUUCAAUAGCUUUUGAUUUCUUAAUGUAAACCAUGUACUCUCCCUUUACAGACAUGUUUCAGAAAUGAAAUUUUCUGCCACUUUCUUCUUUGGCCACUCUUUGGUUUACAUUUUGCUAUUGGAGAGACACUCGGCUCCGCAGUAGCAGCCAAAAAUAACAUGAGCAAAUGAUUCUCCUUCUCGUAGUCUCGUGGCGAAAUGCCGCGGACAACGGAGAGUGACCUUCCAUCCUCCAAGUGAAGGGUCAUCCUCCAAGUGAAGGAUUUUCAGGGUUCUUUCUGUUUGAAUUUGUAUUUAAGGGAAAAAAAACAAUCACGGCUGGUGGGCUGGAAAGGAUGUGUUACGUGUAUGGAUGGUAAUGGAUCAUUGUCCUCAUACCUCUUUCACGGUCCAACUUAGCUCUAUUUAUUUUUAGUUCAGAAUCAUAUAAUAUUACGGCUUGAUCCCGAUCCUAAAUUUGUUAGGUCACUCGCAACUGCAUGCAAUUAUUGUGUGCUGAUCUAUGGACUGUACGCAUGCAAUUAUUGUGUGCUGAUCUAUGGACUAUGGGUGCAUGCACAUGCACGUAUGGGGCUCCGGCGCUCUGUGCGCACCUUUACGUUCGUUAGUUUUGUCCGCUUGCUCGGUGGGGGGUUUUGGCCGCGCGCGACGACAGCUGUGUGGCCGCCGUCGCCGGCGGCGUUCCCGAGCGCGUCCGGCCGCGACGGGACGGGCGGCGCGUGUGUCCACGGGCGAGCGAGCAUGUGCAUGCGUCUGGCCUGCUGCGCGUAGCGUGUACAGACACGCACGUCGCCGCCGGGCCGGCCGGCGGGGAGACACGGACGCCGCUGACCUGGGGACGUCGCCGGUGGCGGCUAGCUCGUGGGCCGGGCCGGGCUGUCCGUCCACGCGUGUCGCCACCGUACCCCUGCCUGCUCCGUUGAACAGAACAGCAGUCUCGGAAUGCAACAGUUCCGUCCGGUUUCGCUGUGUGUUCCAUGUUCAAAAUUAAUCGUGGUGGGCGUCGCUAGCUGCUUCCAACGUAAAACGCGCGCGAAGCAUUUUGCUUAUGUUAUAGGGAAUAUAUAGCGUUCAGAUUUGACUACGUUUGGGUUUUGGAGCGUGAUGGUUUCCUCCGGUUUCCGUUUUGUGAGAUGACGAGUGUUUCAUGUGGCAUCGUGCGCCAACGUUUUCUUCCAUGCUUUGAGCAGGACAACGUUCAAGAUGCGCGACACUCGGUGUGGGGUGUUUUCUUGUGGAACCAGGCCAUCUGCAUGUGGAAUCCCGUGCCAACGCCUCUUUUCCCCUCCUAAAAUUUUGCAAUUUUCACUACUCAGUUUUGAAAUAUAUAUCAUUUAGUACAAAUAAAUUAAUACUCCCUCCGUUUUAAUUUAUAGUUCGUUUUGAUUUUUCUAGGUGCAUAAUUUUAGAUCUAGAUAUAUGUUUAUAUCUAGAUACAUAAUAAAUGCUAUGAACGUAGAAAAGUCAAAACAACCUAUAAUUUGUAAAUCUUGAUUCCACACGUAUCACCAGUACGUAGUAGCUAAUAAUAAAGGAUUCCGCAAAAUUGCAAUGGUAGGAAAAGAAUCUAUCCUAUUAUCUAAGGACGUAGUAAGUGGUAGAGCUAGCAAUUUUUCAGAGUUUGCACACGCAAGAACGCUAAGUCCGCACACAUAAGGCAUACUCCUAAUGAAGCACAUAGGGGCAUAGGGUACCCUGCCUGGCUCCAUCCCUGGCCGUCAAAUACAGAUCGAAUGGGCACGGGUAAUGCUAACCAUCCUAGCAGGCCUAGCUGCUCGACAUGCACAUCUACAGCUACAGGCUACAGAGGCUAAAUUGGUGAAGAUUAAAGGUGGGGGCAUCUGGUAAACUGAUUCUGUCAACUGUCAUCCUCAACGAGAGGCAACGAAGAAGAACACGUUGUCGCACCACGCACAGCAUUUUUUAUUUCUGAUUUUUUCGCUAAGAACAAAUAUCCUAUCCGGGCCAGAGAGGAUGCCAAUUGCCCAAGGGCACAGGCAGCCCACGCGGGAAAAUCCUCCGCCGCCCAUUGGCGGAGCAAGCCAACAGAUAAGAUUUGGGAUGGGCCGGGCGAAAUCUGGCAGCAUAUCGCUUCUCGUUUGUCUCCCUGUACGUCUGCACGUGGGCCCGGUGAACGUUCUCGUCAUGCUGUUCGUGGGCCCACAUGGCAAAAGGUCUCACGGCCAAGUAUACGUUUACGAUGUGCACUCGGCCAAGUUCUGAUUGCUAUGUCAUGAUGCUGCCAAACUAGAGUACUUUAUGUUGCAAAAGACAGUUUUUCAUGAAUUUGAUAAGAAAAUAGUCAAAUUCUAAAAGUUGCAUCAAUAAAUUCACAUUCAAAAGUACUUUUAAGAUAAUGUUGAUUAUGCAGCAAUUGACAGAGCACUGUAAGAGAAACUAAUAGUCAAAAAACCUAUUUGUAAAAGACUAUCUCUUAUAAUAAUAUGUCAUAUGUUAAUGGACGAUGAUGCAUUUAGCUCGUUUGGAAUUCUAUUGUUGAUACUUGGUAUCAAUAUAUAAAUACAUUUAACCGAUGCUUGCACCUAAAUGCUAGAAAUAAGUGAUUACCGAGGAGUCAUCAAUGUGACAAAAACUGAGGCUAACAUAAUAACAUUAGUGUUCUAUAUUUCCUACUCCCUUCGUCUCAAAUUAUAGAUUGUUUUGGAUUUUUUAUAUCAUAGCUUUUGCUAUGUAUUUAGACAUAGCGUAUAUCUAAGUAUAUAGCAAAGUCUAUGAAUUCAAAAAGUCAAAACGACAUAUAAUUUGGGACGGAUGGAGUAGUAUCAUUUGACAUUUCCACUACAACAUCAUCCUCAUGGAUCACAAGCUUUGAAUGAUGGGGAUGCUGCAAGGCUAUCUAGGAGGAAGACGGGAUGAAUGUGUGUGAGAGAAUUGGUCCCGUGAUAGGAUGGAGAGGAUGAUGAUUGGUGGGUAUGUGGUGGUGGUGGACUGUGAAUGCGCCAACUUGAAUUGAGACAUUUUUGGAUUUUUGCUUACUUCCUUUCGUUGAUUGAAGGAGCUAGAAAGAAAUGCAACAUGUCCCCCCACUAGCUACACGAUAUGUUAGGUCAAGUGAACAUCUUCUUUUGAUGUUGAAUGGCCUGAAUUGAAGUAGCUCAUAGGCUCUUAAUUAGGGUGUUUGUCCUAUAAUCUGACAUGGACUUGACAGGAUGUGAUCGUGUGUGUUCUUCAGAUAUGUUGCCCCAACCUCUAAUAAGAUAUAUUCAUCCUGUUCAUUCACAGGGACGUAAGUGUGCGCACGCAUGUAUGCGAAUUUUUGUGUAUGUGUUGUGUUUUGCAAGAAAAGGCUAACAAGCAUAAUUGAAAUUUGUCAAUUACAUGAUAUAGAUAUGUUAUAAGUCAUCAAAUAUCAACAUAAACCAAAGCAUAACAUAACUACAUGUAUUUUCUCAACAUGUUUCGACCAAAACAGAAAACACCAUCUCAAUGGACCACAACAAGCUUCUGACCAUAAAUUCGUUAUGCUUCAUUGGAUCCCUGCUAACUUCGUUUCUGUUGAAACUAGGUGAGAACAUGACCACAAUCUGCCAGAAUUCUCCCUGUGAUGCAUAUUGCCCAUUGGACAAUGGAGAGGAUGGCAAUUGACAAGUCUAUGCGUGGAUCGUGUGCCAGCUCAAAAUUUUUAGUUAUCACUGGAUCUGUAAUUUUUUUGUGAGAAAAAGAGAGACUUCAUUGAUUAAGUCAUGGAAGAGUUACAAUCCCUGAGCGCUAAUUGCGCUCGAUACAAUCAGGAAUACCCCCAACCACACCGUUGUUGAGUUAACUUGGCGAGCGUGUGGACUCAACUCAUGUGCUAUUGAAAUUUUCUCUCUACAUGUUGGAACUUAACCUGUUCUAUCGUUGACAUAUACUCCCUUGCACCUGUAAUCCAUGGAGCUGAACUUGAUCGAUCCCUUUCACCCGACAUCAAGCUUCUUAUACAUAUACCGUUAUUUGAUUUCAGGAUAAUUAGGCCUCGACACCAUUGUGCAACUAGCCUUAAACCUUCACAGCAAGCUGCAAAUUCAUCCUCUUCUACUUAUUGAAACAAGCGUUAUGCUGAAAUCACAAUAUCCCAAAUAUUCCAAGUAUGGUUCCUUACCACAGCACAUAUACUUGCCUGCCCAGUGGUCUCUAUGAAACUUAGGUAGUGUUUGGUUGGCUCAAAUGUAACGUAAUCUGAUUACUGAAGGUAACGAAUCCCAUUACAUAUGUUUGGUUACGGUGGUUUGUAAUCAAUUGACACUGUAAUCGAAUCCCUUACCUAAAUAAUAUCUAUACAAGCUUGUUACCCCUCCUCCCCCACUGUAAUCAGAUAUAGCACCCACACAGUAAUCUGAUUACGUUACCAGAGUGCAACCAAACAAAGAGGGCAAUCACCUAUUCCACCUCCAAAUACACUGUAAUCUGAUUCCCUUUGCGUUUACAUUACCUUAGCACGAACCAAACGCUAUCUUACAUCGACAUUUAAUUUCAGCCAUCUUACUCAAGUGGAUUCCACGUACGUAACAUGAUAUGGUUACGGUUUAUUACAUUUUUUUUUUCUAAACUUGCUACCCCUGGUAAAGUUAGCUUAAAACCUAGAACCAGUCCGGGAACCCGGAGCUCCGUCCCCAUCGUGGGCCCACUGCCAUGCCACGCCACGCCACGCCGUCCUGUGUGGCCCACGGACGCUUGGCCCGUCGCGGCUAGGGCCAGAUCGUGACCCGAUAGCCGCGACACAAGGUCCGAUCGGAUUGAGGAUACGCGAUCGCAUCGGCCAGCUCACCAAAGCCUGUGCUCUUACUGCUGUUGUAUCGUCCUUCUCUGGUAAUAGGACCGUGGACAACCACUGCAGAUCCCAUGUUGAGUCGCCAUCAGCUCCAGAAUCUCUCAGAGAAGCUUAAUCGUUUGCCCCACCACUGCCCGUGGGGCCCAGCGCACAGUGGCCCACUGUACAGUGAAUCAGAUGUCCUUUAGAGAAGUUUCUUCUUCUUCUUGAGAUGUAGUACAAUUAAUUAUUGGACAUUUCACUGUCCAGUAACAGUAGGAAGCACGUCGCAUGCGUGCAUAAGUAUGCAUCAACAUCGACCACACGUCAACUACUCAACUCAGAGAGAAUGAAUAUUCACCAUGCAAAACUGUGUGGGCAAUACAUGUUUAACCUUGUUUUUAUCUUGGAGAUAUUAUUUUUUAUACGUACGUAGGGGUUCUAGAAAAACAAGUAAAAAUGUAACUGCAUUCGGUUAAUCUUGGGGCGCCCUGUUUAAGUAAUUGCAGUCGUGUUUUUGGUAAUAGCGACAUGUUUGGUUCCCUUCAACAUGAUACGGCAGGGCGUACCUAAGAAUAGUGGUUCAAGGUUGUGUCAAUUAUAAUUGGGAAAAAGAUAUGACGACAACCUAACCAUAAUUGUAUCGUAGAUUAGAGAAUAAUCAAACAUUCGUCUAGGAUAUUUUAGUGUGCCUGGCUGUAUAUAUCCACCAUGUAGAUGUAGUAGCCUGGAUUUUAUCUUUUAUAUAAAAAAAUUUAGUGUGCCUAAUAACGUUGGCUUGGUCCGUAAAUAAAGCAUGGGUAGCAAAUACAAAAAAAAGAAAGAAAGAGGAGCAAUGACACACCGCAUAUACCACCUAACUGAACAUACUAGAAUCACGUGUGGCUACCUAAAAGUUUCGUCGAAAUAAAACUAGCUAUGCAAAGUUAUAUACGUAGAGAUAGAUGAUGUACUUAUUCGUGCUACACAUCGACAUGCCUCCAAUAUAUAUAAUGGUGCAAAAGAGAUUAAGUGGUUGUACGGAUCAAUAUUUGUAUGGGAGCGCAUGUGUUAUCAACUACUCCCUUCGUCCCAAAUUACUAUUCAUUUUGACUUUUUAAGGUACAUGAAUUGUGCUAUGUAUCCAGACAUAGCAUAUAUCUAGAUGCAUAGCAAAAGCUAUGAAUCUAGAAAAGCCAAAACGAAUAGUAAUUUGGGACGUAGGAAGUAGUUCUUAAACUCACAAUAUGUGCUUCAUAAUGGUCCGUACAUGUGUGCCUCAGGGGAACUAGAUCAAAUAAACUCCCAUGGCUGGUUUUUCACCUAAGAUAAUAAUUACACCAUCUUCAUCAAUUAUCAAAAAGGAAAAAGAAGAUACCAUCUUUUCCCAAGCUUAUAUUAUAUAAGUGGAGCCAUGAGCCGCUCUAGCUAGUACCGAAUAUCUACGACCAAUGCAUGCAUGAGUACAUGGUUUACUCCAACAAUAAACAACACUAUUCUUGAGAUGCCUAUGGUGCGACUUCGUCGUUCACAAGAUUUGUUGGCCCAAUCUUUUAGAGGUGCUUGUAGGAGUAGGGUGUGCAAUGUGUACAUAUUUAUUGAGAUGAGUGAGGCAUGCAUGUAUGCGAAUGUAUGUAUCCAGCAGUGAACGCAGGCCGACAGAGCCUAGAGGGGCUUGUCCACCUCACCCUUCCUCCUUUUCUUCCUCUCACUACUAGAUUUAGAAUAAUUACCGAGAGAGAUUUGAUCUAGUGGUCGGGACAUGCGUACUAUGUAUUAUCUAUCUGCUCUAAUAGCUGAGCGUGUUUUAGUGUCAAACAUGGAUUUAGAGAGUUUAGCUUAUUUCCCAAUAAUUUUUUCUCCAACCAAGAAUCACAACAUCAAAGGGUAGAAGCAACAUGUAACCAUCGACCACUUCACAACCACCCUUAGCAAAAGCUUUAACUCUUGUGCUUCCUCCUCUUGCUCUUCUCUUAUUACUUGAUCUCUCUUUUCUUCUUCCUUACCUUCAUCCAUGGCAAAUUUUUUCUUCUUCUUUUUGUUGUGUGUGCGUGUGUGUGUGUGUUGGGGGGGGGGGAGGGGUUAUCAUUUUCAUGAGAGAUGGAGAGAUGUGGACUUCCAUCAACCGAGUGUGUGUGUGCCUCCAAUAUGUAUGCCAUCAGCUGUGGUACACGCGACUUAUAUUGAAAGCAAAUAUCAACUCGAUCUGAAAGCGCUAUUCAUUGCCUAGCAUAUGAGGCUAUAUAUAACGGAGCUUUUUAAGCCUAUGGUGAUAUUCCGAGGGUGUCAGCAACUCAACAAAAGAGGAGUUCCAAUCCACACAUGGUGACAGAAAAAAAUUCAAGGAGGCCCAAAGUUGCUAGACUUUGGAAAUGAGUAGCCAAUGGAGAGUCCCAUAAGUAUGGAAUUUCAAACGUAUCCUACUGAUAACCUAUAUUAAGAUCUGAAAGUGCAUCUAGGCCCCUAAGUGGAUUUUGGUGAAUUGAAUGACAAAACGAUUAAAGGACUAACUUGUUUGCUUAAGAUUGUGAGCAGGGUUUUAUUCUCAUAUUUAUGAUGUGAUAUUGUCUCAUAAGUUGAAUAUGUAUUAUAUGGUUCACAAUAAAGAAAAGCAAGCGAGUAUGUGAUCCCGUGAUGCAACUAUAUGAUCAAUGACAAGCAAGGGUGAAGUAAAACUUGGGGAUAUAUUUAUGGUUGAUUUAUAAGUCUCCAAAUCAUGUGAUAGCUUGAUUAACAAGUAAAGGGAUCAUUAAGAAAAGAAUAGUGAUAUUCACAAAUGAAUAUUGCAAAACUUCAUGUGCAUAUAAUAAAAAGACAUGAGCUUAUGUGUUACAUGUUGGUUUUGUUAUUGGAAGUUUGCAAUUUAUGGAACAUUCUUUAUCAAUCAAGAACAAACAUUUGAAGAGGAUUUCAAAUGGAAUUUCAUUGUUGGUGUCAAAAGCAAAGCUAAACUCGAAGUGGUAAGAAUAGGUGAAGAAAUCAAGCGAGGUACUAGAGCGAGGGACUAAGCAAGCUUUGGUCGAGCGACAGCUUGGACUACGUGCGUUUUGCUAAGGUGAAGUGGCUAGUAUCUGGGGGGUUUCGAAGUAUCAUAUCUAAGUCUUACUGAGGGAAGCAAUGCAAUGCAUCUAAUCUAUUGUAAUUGAUAAAAUGGAGUGACUUAAGGAUUCAAGUAUAUCUUAUCAUGAAUGAGGAAAAAUCUUAAGUCACUAGCUCAAGAUGGGUGUGCUCAAGAUGAUAGCUAUGUUGAGAGCCCUCAAGUGACUAUUGAUCAAAGUAUAGCAUGGAUGAUGACUUACAAGCUCAAGUGGAUGAUAUAGUGUUUAUAUUUAUUUUUAAGUAUAGGAAUCCGUACUAUCAAGAGGGAUGCAAUAUUAGCUAAUUGACAACACCAAAAGUGCUCUUAGUUGACCUAUGUGAGAUUGGCCUUGAGAAAACCCUUGAGUGAGCUAAUUGUCCUAGCUCAGCUGACUUAGGUCGAUUCAGCCAGUAGGUGGACCAAGAAAGUGUCUCUAGAGGUUUUUGGGACUAACUUAGCCAAACUAGUUUGACCGGUCUGGGGGUUCAGGGCACCAACAGCUAGUUUUUCAAACCAGACCGGUCUGACCGGUUUGAGCAGCUCUAACGGCUAGUUUCUAGUGUGUGGGGGUAUUUAUACCCCCUAGUCCCCUCCUUGAGGGGCUGCUGGCUACACACGCAUUUAACAUCAUCUAGUGACCAGAAAAGCUCUCCCCAACCUCUUUUUGUGAGACUUAAGUGAUUCUUGUGAAAUCUUUUAGUUGGGUUGAGAGAGUGAUUCUGUGCGAGUAUUAGUGAGUUGAAAAGAGCAAUCCAUAGCUUGACCCAUAGCUUGAGCACUUGUGGUUCGCAUCAAGAAAGGCUUUGAAGCAUUUGUUACUCUUGGAGGUGUGCCUCCUAGAUGGCUAGGAGUCGCCGGCUAGCUCCCAAGGUGUGGUGAGUAGCGGCAAGUUUGUGAGGCUGCGAUCUUGCUUCUGCAAGGAAAAAGAUCAUCUAGUGGAGACGAGGAAAGUUGUUGAAAGAGACCCGACUUGUUGGAAGGGAGUUGAAAGAGGCUCGUAUUCCAAUAGGCUCCUCAACAGAGAUGUAUGAUUCAUUGCGGUGAAUCUGAACUUCGGGUAAAUAAAUCCUCGUGUCUUCCUUUCGUUUGUCUCACUUGUUGAUUUCUAGCAAAUUACUUGUGCUUCUGCUUCGAUCUACUUGGAUGUGCUUGUCUUGUGUGCAGGGACUACUUUACCCUGCCAGAUAUCAUCUACAAAAGCCACUCUCAAAGUUCAGUUGGUGCUAGAAGUCAAGGAGGGACACGAGCAGAGCUUGGUGUGUGCUCAGCCCUGUACACCGAUCCGAGCAACCGGUCUGACCGGUUUGGCCUGACCAGUGCGGCUGAGUGAGUUGAAGUUUUAUAAAUUGGUUAACUCGCCUAUUCACCCCCCUCUAGGCGACAUCUCGAUCCUUUUAAGAUUGUUUCACUUAUUUUCGUCAAAUCGAAGCUAGCAGACCUAUUCUUCUAUAGGUUUUCCAUGUAACAAUCAUAAAUAUAUGAAAAAGUGUAUUUUUCAUCCCUCAAGUAUUGCAAAAGUGUGGCAUUCAUCCCUCAUGUUUCAUUUGGUGCAAAUCAACACCUUAACUAACUAAACCAAUACAUUUAUCAUUGAUAUAAUACUUUUGCAAUAUUUGAGGGAUGAAAAAAAUACAUUUUUCCUAAAAUAUAUGGUUAAUAUUGUUGAUCUUAGAUCAUUAUUGCAUGUACAACAGGACCAGACUUAAUCCAAAUAGACAAAUUAACUUGUUAAAUGAUGCGAGUUGUCAUGCGUACCUACAAGGUGCUAUCAGAUUUUGUACAUAUGGAGCCUCUCUUAGACAUCAAUCUACACUACUAGUAAGAGUUUAGAUUUCUAACAUACGCAUGCAUACUGUUCAUCUCCAUGCACCAUAUAUGCAUAUAGUCCUCUAGAACACUCGAACAACAACUAUUUGCUCUUGCUUUAUAUAUAUAGACUUCGUCAAUAAUGCCACCAACUCUAGAGCAGAGUACUGAUGCACCUAGUGUGUCCUACAUGCCGGGGUCCUAGCGUAUGCGAUGCUGUUCGUCUCCAAGCUAGACGUGGCUUUGCCGGUGUGCAUAAUGGCUAGCUGCUGGGCCUGUAAACGAUGGGGCGGUCACAUGCGGUGCCGGGUGAGGCUUGUCCAUAUGCCUCCUAGUCCAAUGCAUGCCUGCCUUCACUCUUGGACUCUCUCGUCGAUGCGGUGUCCAUCGAAAUGUUAGCGAGAGAGAUGGAGUAACCACGAGGUGCUAGCUCCUGUAAGCCUGAUCUCCCAUACCCAAGCCAAAAGAGUUAGCUGAAGGGUUUCCAACCAGGAAGAGAAAAGGUUGAAGAGAUAGGCAGAUAGCGUUAGCCAUGGAGCUAGCGAGAUGGAGUUGUGUGUGUACAGUAUGGCUACUAGGGGUUAGAAACCAGUACUGGAGCUUUUCCCAGCAGUGUGGCUAACGGUUGAUCGACCAAUAAUUGCGCGGCAAGGGAACUGUGUGCUGCUGUUUUCCAACAGUACGAGCCUAGUUACUAGUAGAUAGGGUACUUGCUAGCAAUAUAAGCUCCAGCCUUUUCCCCCUAUCAAUGUAAAUAUCUCAGGCGCGGCUAGAGUUUUCACUUUCAUAUAUCACAGUUUUGUAGAAAAGUUGUAGACUUUUAAAUUGCAAUGCACCUGAUUCGAAAAAAAAGAAGUAUUGAAAUGAAACUAUGUAAUUUCAAUAUGUUUCAAAAAAUAUUGUACACCCAGUUUCAUCCUGACAAAAUCCCCUUCUCCAAUCCGUUCUCAUAAAUCUUUGACAUGUCAUCAUAUUGGAUGAUGUAUCAUAUCAUUUAAUUCGAAUGAAACCCUCACCAAUGUCAUCUAAUCAUAUUUGAGUCAAUGCAAAAAUUUAUUUUCGUGGUUCCAUAGGCUACCAUAUCAUUUAAACGUUGCAUGUAAGCGACCAACGAGAAUUGAUGAAAUAUAUGGAGAUGAAACGCAAAGCAUCUCAAUAGGAGUUUCACAUGGUUUUCAACGUGUUGGAAACGGUGAGCAUUUCAUUAAAAACUGCUCCCAGCUCUUUGCUCAUGAAUGCUUAGCCACAUCAUCAAAUUUGCUAAUGUGUUACUUAUAUUUAAUACGCAUGAAACUCUUAUGAAACUGAUACGGCAUGUGUGUAUGUAUUCAAAUCUUUGUCCAAACACCUGUUGAUGGCAUUUAGUAUAUGGAUGCGCCAUCAACAUUUUACAGAGGAAUGGUGUCAACAUAAUAGCACAAUGUAAAUCAAGAUUCGAUCUUGCUUGUUUUCACUCCAUGGAUCUUUGUGCGCAACGAAAGCAACCCAUCGUCCUGGCCGAAUAGUCCAUGCGAAGUAGACCAGAGAAACAGGAAGGCGAAAGCUAGCAGUAGCGCUGCACGGUAAUCCUAAUGACCACAAAAAAAAGAAAAGAAGGGAAGGCCGUGACCAUGACCGACAUCCCCCCAAUCCGAUCCCCCGGGAGAAGUUCGGAAGAAGUAGCCCAUCAAGAGUGAUGCCAAUGCCAUUGCCCUUUCAAACUCUAAGCAGCCAUUAUUCCUCCCAAUGCAAGAGAUGGUUUCAGAAGCGAUCGAGAGCACGCUGCACACACACAGCACAGUGCGCAGAUAUUUUCCCACGUGCAACACGGCCGGCCUCUCCGUCGUCAGGCCGGCUCGCUACAUAUGCCCACACGCCGCGGCACACCACAAGCUCAGAGCGAGCUCCUCAUCACUCGAUCCGAGACUACUAGCUCGGAGCUCACCGAGGACGAAGCAGCUAGGAGCUUAGGGCCGAGGUGUAGGGUACAGGGCAGCCAUGCUGCACCUGAACCUGAAGCAGCCUCUGGUGCUGCCGGGGCACCAGGGCAAUGUAGUCGGCGCGCGCCCGGCGCCGUCGUUGCCGUCCAGGAGGGUCGUCGGGGGGUCCUCGUCGUCGUCCCGGCGGCACGGCAUGCCGAGGAUCAGCUGCAGCGCGACGGAGGAGAUCGGCGGCGCCGUGACGGCCGCCACCGUGGAGAAGAUGCUGACGGUGAGGGCCACGGUGGAGGCAUCGACGGCCAUCGGGCGGAUGUACGCCACCCGCGGCCUCGACGACAUCGGCGACCUCCUCGGCAAGUCGCUGCUCCUCGAGCUCGUCAGCUCCGAGGUCGACCCAAGUGAGUAGCGUGUGACUAGUGACGCUGCUGCUUGACGAAAUCUUUGCUAAUAAACCUAGUAAAAAAAAAUGAAUGCUACUACAAAUGAUUCGAGAAAGCAAGAUGCUCUCGACAAAUCAAAGUACAAAGUGCACUACUAUAGUCUGCUGCAUGACCCCAAACAAAUCUUGAUUAUGAGAUGACGAAUAUCGGCAAAGAUCUGACUGUGCGCAUCUGGACUGUGUCGGCUGGGUGGAGCAGAGACGGGUCUGGAGAAGGAGCGUGUGACGGCGUUCGCGCACAAGACGCUGGUGGAGGGCCGCUACGAGGCGGAGUUCAAGGUGCCGGCGUCGUUCGGGCCGGUGGGCGCCGUGCUGGUGGAGAACGAGCACCACAAGGAGACCUUCAUCAAGGAGAUCAGGCUCGUCACCGGCGGCGACGACAGCUCCGCCGUCACCUUCGACUGCAACUCCUGGGUUCACUCCAAGUUCGACAACCCGGAGAAGCGCGUCUUCUUCACCGUCAAGGUCUCCUCGGAGCUAGGCUUCUCAGACCAUCUAUCUCCAUGAUCGAUCAUCCUUCCAUAACUUGCAAGAUAUACAUAUAUACAAAUACAACGUAUAUAUAAUACCAUGCAUGGCACUGUACAGAUCGACCGGUGGAUCUAACAGUCGUUGUUCCUGCAUGUGUCCGUGCAGUCGUACCUGCCGUCGGAGACGCCCGAGGGCCUGUCGGAGCUGAGGAAGAAGGAGCUGGAGACGCUGCGCGGCAACGGGCACGGCGAGCGCAAGUCCUUCGAGCGCGUCUACGACUACGACGUGUACAACGACCUCGGCGACCCGGACCGGAACCCGGCCCACCAGCGCCCCGUCCUCGGCGGCAGCGCCGAGUUCCCCUACCCUCGCCGGUGCCGCACCGGCCGCGCCCGGACGCAGCGGGACCCGCUGACGGAGCGGCGGGACGGGCACAACUACGUGCCCCGCGACGAGUGGUUCUCGGAGGUGAAGCAGCUCACGUUCGGCGCCACCACGCUCCGGUCGGGGCUCCACGCGCUGCUCCCCGCGAUCCAGCCGCUGCUCAUCAAGAAGGAGCUCCGGUUCCAACACUUCCCCGCCAUUGACGACCUCUACAGCGACGGCAUCCCCCUCCCGGCCCAGACCGGCUUCGACGCCAUCCGCACCGUCGUCCCCCGCAUGGUCAAGCUGGUCGAGGACACCACCGACCACGUCCUCCGCUUCGAGAUCCCCGAGAUGAUGGGCAGUAAGCAUGCAGCUGAUCUUUCUCAUCUGAUUCAUUAACAGAUAGUUCUUACCUGAGAAUUAAUCGAAAUCGAUGGCAGGGGACCGGUUCUCGUGGUUCAAGGACGAGGAGUUCGCGAGGCAGACGCUGGCGGGUCUCAACCCGCUGUCCAUCGAGCUGCUCACCGAGUUCCCCAUCAAGAGCAAGCUGGACCCGGCGGUGUACGGCCCGGCGGAGUCGGCCAUCACCAGGGAGAUCCUGGAGAAGCAGAUGAACAACAACCUGAGCGUGGAGGAGGCGCUGGCGGCGAAGCGCCUCUUCAUCCUCGACUACCACGACGUGUUCCUCCCCUACGUGCUCCGCGUCCGCGAGCAGCCCGACACGACACUCUACGGCUCCCGCACCGUCUUCUUCCUCACCGACGCCGGCACCCUCAUGCCGCUGGCCAUCGAGCUCACGCGGCCGCAGUCGCCGACCAAGCCCCAGUGGAAGCGGGUCUUCACCCACGGGCCCGACGCCACCGGCGCCUGGCUCUGGAAGCUCGCCAAGGCCCACGUCCUCACCCACGACACCGGCUACCACCAGCUCGUCAGCCACUGGCUGCGCACCCACUGCUGCGUCGAGCCCUACAUCAUCGCCGCCAACCGGCAGCUCAGCCGCCUCCACCCCGUCUACCGCCUCCUGCACCCGCACUUCCGCUACACCAUGGAGAUCAACGCGCUGGCCAGGGAGAGCCUCAUCAACGCCGACGGCAUCAUCGAGGCGGCGUUCUGGCCGGGGAAGUACUCCGUCGAGCUCAGCUCCGCCGCCUACGCCACGUGGCAGUUCGACACGGAGGCGCUGCCCAACGACCUCGUCCGGCGGGGGCUCGCCGUGCGAAAGGACGACGGCGAGCUGGAGCUCGUCAUCAAGGACUACCCCUACGCCAACGACGGGCUCAUGGUCUGGAACUCCAUCAAGCAGUGGGCGGCGGACUAUGUGAAGAUAUACUACAAGUCGGACGAGGCCGUCGCCGGCGACGCCGAGCUGCAGGCGUUCUGGGAGGAGGUGCGCACGGUGGGGCACGGCGACAAGAAGGACGAGCCGUGGUGGCCCGUGCUCGACGGCCGGGACGCCCUCGUCGAGACGCUCACCACCAUCAUGUGGGUCACGUCGGGGCACCACUCGGCGGUGAACUUCGGGCAGUACCACUACGGCGGCUACUUCCCCAACCGCCCCACCGUGAUCCGGAAGAACAUGCCGGUGGAGGAGGGCCGGGACGACGAGAUGAAGAGGUUCCUGGACCAGCCGGAGGGGACGCUGCUGGACAUGCUCCCAACGCAGAUGCAGGCCAUCACGGUGAUGACCACGCUGGACAUCCUCUCCUCGCACUCGCCCGACGAGGAGUACAUGGGCGACCACGCCGAGCCGGCGUGGCUGGCGGAGCCCAUGGUGAAGGCGGCGUUCGAGAAGUUCGGCGGGAGGAUGAAGGAGAUCGAGGGAUACGUCGACGAGUGCAACAACAACCCAGAGCUCAGGAACCGGUGCGGCGCAGGGGUCGUGCCCUACGAGCUGCUCAAGCCCUUCUCCAAGCCGGGGGUCACCGGGAGGGGCAUCCCCAACAGCAUCUCCAUCUGAUCCAGAUGAUCUUGCAUUGAGCUCCCCAUGCAUCCAGGGGAGAUGAUUGCAUUAUUAUUGCAUGUAGCAGGCGGCUUGUGAAAUAAAAUGUACCACUCUGUACACGACUGUAGUACCUAUUGAUUGUACAUGUGUCACUGCAAGAGAGACGUUUUUUAGUUAAUAUAAAGGGUAGUUAUGCUACUAGCUAGCUUUGUCAUUGACAGUGACCUGGUUUUUAGGUUCCCUCGCUGGCUCGCUUAAGACGAUGCACCUCAACCGCACGAUCUCAAUCGUGCGCUUCUCCUUAAUCUUCUUCCUUCCAUCGAGCGCUACUACUAUUUUUCUUCUUCGUUGAAACAUCUCUGUGCUCGAUCCUUGCCUCACACCCUCCUCCAUUUGUCUCUCUAGCUAGUGCCGUGUUUACCUCCAUGUCGUAGUCCACCACUGCCCUAGCUGCACCCUAACUAUAGUAACCACUCCAUUUUUGCUGCUCUUCCACUUCCACCAUUGUCAUCACCUCCCAUCAGUCGUCCUUCUUCGCCACUAGUGGCAUGUGGCUCCCUGCCUCACCGCUCCACCUGCCGUCCGCCUCCUUCCCCGUGCUAUUGACGUUGGCCUUCUUCAUGCAUAGCCUCAAAUUUUCCUAAGCUUCGCAAAUAAAGACGGCAUUAUUACCAAGAUGUCACUAUACUAAUAGAUUUUUUUUAUGGUCUUUGGGCAUUAUUACCAAGAGAUGCCCCCAAAUUCUAACUAUGGAGUGAUUAUAUUACCACAUCUUAGCAACUUUGAUACCAAAUUUCAUUCUCUCUAGGUAUAGUUGUAUGAUACCUCAGCCAUUGAGUUCAUUAUUCAAGUGUAAACAAGAAAAAAAUUGCGAAGAUAAAAAAUGAAAGUUAGGGUGUUUUCAAAUGCCUGCAUACAUCUCAAUUCCUUAUAACCUAACACCACCAGCCACUCAAAGGAAGGCGGGCCAAACCAAAUGCGCGAGCGCCAUCCAGGUUAGAUUGACAUUUGAGAGGGUGCACUAGGGGGGCUUCCCUCUUUGCUUUCGACCGUCGGAAGGGUGACUUCCAUGGUCCCAAGGCCGAGGGGCCAAGCCAACACCUAAUAAGCUUAACAAAAAGUUUUCUUGUAGUUUGGCAUAUUCAUCAUAGAGACCGACCAUAUUUUCCUUGAGUUUGCAUAAAAUAAUUGUCUUACAUGACUCCUACUAGCUAGAAACGAGCUUGACACAAUUAUUCAUGCAUACAAAAUAUCUGUAACACCUUAUGGAAUAUGGGACAUCGGUCAUUUGGUGAGAAAAAUCUAUAUGGAAUUGAGACACAAAUGGGUAUUUGAAACACCUAAUUUGCAUGUGGUGUUAUUUUCUCAGGUAAAAAAAAUUGAUCCGGCCUGCAGGGUUAGUCCCCCAUCCAGUUUAAUUUGAAUCCACACAUUCACCUUUUACAGAAUAUACGAACCACAGACUGGUCAAUUUCUCCGUGCAUAUCACGAGCAGCACAGCAGAGAGGACCUGUGGGUACCAUCCAAAAAUAUUCACACGAAACAUGUGAGCCACAGCCCAGUAGCAUGAUGGGCAGUUCUGGACCAAGCCAGAUCGGAUGCCGCUGGAGAGCAUGGAGGCCAAUGUCCACUAGCAAACGUCUUAUCUUCGCGGUUUUUUUUCAUAGGCAGCGAGCGUACACAGCUGAUGACUAUACAGGAAGUGAGGGCAGGUGUAAGCCUGGACCAGCCAAUGGGCCGGGGAUCCUGGACAAACUACAUAAGAGCCAAAAAUAUCACCUCCAUAUGGGGCUCAACUGAAACUCCGGUCCCAAAGUGAUGUGGGGUAAGAACCCUGAACCCGUAAGCCAUGGCUGUACGGGUAACCAGGCUUGCACCAAUUUCUGCAGGAGUUAACUACAGUUUGUUUCACUCAUUUCUAUGUAGACAAUGGUUAAAACUUGAAUCUAUCCGAUGUCAUCCGGUAAUCAGGGUGUUGCAACACAGCAGAUUUGGGCAUUGCCAACUGGCAUCAGUAAGAAAUGGGAAAGAGUUGGGAGGGUUGAGAUACUUGGAGUGCCAUUGAGUGGAUAAGGCAGAAUGAGACCUGGAAGGAUUGGGGAAGAACACAACAGGCCUUCAUCAUUGGGAGAUGCAGCUCUCGGUUCCACCCUGGCUGACUGAACAAAAUAAUCAAGUUGAGACUUUAAUAUCGUAACUUUAAUAGCAAGAGUUUAAGAAAGAAGUGUUAUCAAGUGAGAUACCAGUAGAGGAUGGCUCAAAGUAAGGUCGAGUUGUUACGAAAGAGGGGUCCUGAGCAUUGAACUCAAAGUGCUGUGCUGUGCUAGUCUUUUGAAGACCUGUUGAUUGGACAAGCUUUACUAAUUUGUUUGCUAUGAUUGUCAUCGGCGGGCGGAGAUCUGGUGACUGCUGAAAUGUAAAAGAAAUACCGUAAGUUAUUGCCACAGAAACUUGUGGUAAAAUCUAAUCGAUCAAUCUUGACAGCAUUAGAAUUGCUGCGAAAAUAUAUUUUCAGUGUUAAUGCCAUCAACAAUAUAUACAGAAAACUCUUAGUAUUUCCAAUAGCACCAGGUACGAUCUGCAACUUCAAAGUUGUGUCACUAAGCCCAAAUGUCCAAAGCAAUAUGUACCAGAAAAGAAAAUGGAGAACUACCUUGAUGCAAAGCAAGAUGAUGAUGCCUAAUGAAGAGAUAGCUUUAGCUGGCAUAGAGCCACUAAUUCUUGGGUCAGUUAUUCUUUCCAAAGAAUCAAGGUCAUUGAGAUGAGGAGCUGCCCAUUCUACUAGAAACUGCUCAUUUUGCCUCCUUGAACUGAAGAGGUAAAGAUCCUUUAGAAAUCCAGAUUGCAACUUUGGUACAACAGUGUUAGAACAAAGAAUACAUACCUGUCAAAAGCCUUUUGCCCAGUCAAAAGAACAAGUAAAAUCACACCAAAACUGUAAAUAUCAGCUUUGAUGGCAUCUGCUCCUGGCUCAGUAAGUUCAGGGGCAGCAUAGCCUUUAGCACUGGUGAUAGCUUCUGGAUCCUUCUGUGCAGGUGAGGAAUUGUUAAAAAAUAAUCAAAUGAGAAACCAUCGAUGACCAAUGGAUCGAGUUAAAGGAACUCAAUUUUAAGUUGCAGGCUUAAAGCAUGCAUUGAACAUAGAAGCAACAUUUGUUAUUAUGUAUCAUUUUUUUAGGGGACAUAAUACACUAACAGGCUUAAAAUGUUUGGAGGGAAAGAUCAAGCAAGAAAACUAACAAUCUUACACCAACAUUUGAUAAGUUGAGCAUAUCCAGUGAUAAACCUUAAUUUUUGAACAAGAGCAAUUUCUGUUUUGAAUUGAAAUUCCAAUCAGGAGAGGCCAUGAUCACUUAUGCAUGAGGAUAAAACUGGAAGAGGAAUGGCAUCCAUGGUGCAACUUGAUCCUAGAAUCAAUCGAAUAGAUAACUGUAUAACCAUGCUAAAGAUUACAUACAAAGUAGUAAUACUAUCCUUGGUAGCUGGGAAACUUGAGGACACUGACCAUUAUUCUUGCGGUGCUGACAAAAUGGCUUAACUUGGUUAAUCCGCUGUCACAGAGGUAGGGCAUGAGCUGAGCAUCAAGCAAAAUAUUUCUCGCUUUAAUAUUUCCAUGAGCAACUGGAGGGGAACACGUCAAGUGCAUGUAUCUGCAGACAAAGAUACAUAUAAAAAUUGGGAAAUAAUGCCUGUACAAAAUCUCAUCAGUGGUUGCACUUAAAAACCAAAAUGGGCUAUUAAAGUUGAUAUUGGUGUAAUUAAUAACCACGUCGUACAAAAUAAAGGAUGUAAAGGAAUUUGGUGAGAGUGUAAAUCUUACUCCAGAGCAUAGGCAACUCCAAGAGCAAUCUUCAUCCGAGCUUUCCAUGACAAAGCCCUGGAUCUUGUGGCUGCUGAAAACAAAAGAUCAUCAAGAGAGCCAUUUUCUGCAUACUCAGAUAGAAGCGCACAAUGUCCAAACUCCACACAAUAUCCCACAAGCGCACAGAUAUUAGGGUGCUUUAAUCUGGAGAUAUUCCAAAGCAUGUCCAUCAAUUCAUCUUGUUCUGAUAAUGAUAGGUCUACCAUGUCAAUCCUCUUGAUAGCCAGGAGCUGUGAAGACAUUGAGAAAUGUUUAAUUAUACAUGUAAAAGUAUAGAGAAAAUCAUGACCUGCAGCAAAUUUGGUAAAACCGUACUUCAACUAUUUAGAAAAAUCACAAACUUUAUAUGCUGCAGAAGAACAAGGUCCCAUUAAGAUACUUAUUUCAGAGAGUGACAUAUAAGACCACGCAUCCCAUCCUCCUUGCGCCUUAAAAUGCAAAUUAUCAAGAUUCAAGACAUCAAGAAAAAAAAAACGUGUGCUUCCUCCCCUCACAGCAACCACUAUUAUCAGAACCUUUCUGUGGUCAGAGGGGGACAGGGGGUUAUACCUCCCCCAAACCCCUUAACCAUGAUGUCCACCGUCCCAGACAGACAGUAAACAGUGGCUUGUUACUCAUGCAAACAGUAAAUAGGAAUUCCCAGAAAAAGAAAGCACAAAGAGCCUGCAGCAGUCAACACAGAAAAACAAACUUCAUGCCAACACAGAAGGGAAAUAAGACCAAUUUAUGGAUUUUUAUGAAUGAAAAUAGCAGUAGACUAUAGUUAGAAAGAACUGAUGGCACAUUUCAGCUAUUAGGGCUAUGAGAUGCAUGUUCUAGAAAUCAGACUUGAUUCAUGUCAUAAGAGCUUCGUCUAGAUUAAGUGACAAACAAUAAUGCUACUUUCCAACAAGGCUACUACAGAAGACAGCAAUAAAUGUAUGUUUAUCAAAGUACCAUACCUGGCCAUCAGAAAAAUCGCCUCUGUAAACUCGGCCAGUGAAACCUUCACCGAUAAGGCAUUCUUCAUUGAAGUCCCUGGUAGCUGCCAGAAUGUCAGCAGCUGGAAACUGUUUAGCAGUUAGAAGGUUUUUAGAUGUCUUGGACCAACUUUUUAUUUUGGGAACUCUGUCAGAUGUAAUGUCAUUAGUAGAUGAAGGAUCACUGCCAAUCAACAGAGAACUCCAAGAGUACAGGACCUCAUUUGCUUUAGGGACUGCAAAAUGGAAAAUAUGAGUUUCAGUGUUGCGAAAGAGUCUUGGUCUAAUCCAUAAAUAGAAAAUGCAGCAUGAAGAAAAUGAAAAGCAAACAUCUGUACAUGGAUGAAUUUAAUCAAUGUGCCUUGAAAAUAACAAAGAGUUCAUGUUUUAUGACGAGUCCUGGAUUUACAGUUUGGUCCUAGAUUUUUAAUGAGUAUAAAUAAUUAGAAGCCUGGCUAUCAACUACAAAUGCAUGAAUGUUAUGCUUAAAUAAUUUAAGCUCCAGUUCUACCUGCUUCCAUAUUGGCUGGGAAAGUCUUGGCACAGUUAGAGGUGCUCUUAGGGCACAAUGAACAGCUUUUCCAACUUUUCAGAACCAAUCCAACAAUGAGUAGUAGAAACACUGUACAUGUGGCACUAGCUACUGCAGCAACUGUCACUCGAGAGUGUGACUUCCUAUGCUGGCUGUUACUUUGCAGAGAAGAAUACACCAAAGAAGGCUUUGGAGAUUUUGGCUUGCGCUUUGGAUUCUGCUUAGCUGCUGGUGGAGGUGGUCGGGUUGGAGGUGGAGGUGGAGUUGGAGGCAAAGAUUGAGGUGGAGGUGAAUGGGUCCUCCUAGUAAAUGAGGACGAUGCAUAUCUGAAACCAGGUUGAAACUGGUUUCCAUCAAUCCUGGAAUGUUGACCAGAAAGUUAAUCAUUUAUUUAGAAGAGAUUUGAAGCCAUGACACAUAGAGAUAGUCAGAGAGGAAGGGGAGGCAAAGUAUAGCAGAAUUUAAUACCUCAGCUCAGGAAUGGACUCAAAUGUUCCGGGAACAUAACCACUGAAGUGAUUAUUUUCAAUGUUGCUGUGAAAGAAGUUUACGAUCAUCAGCAUUAGAAGUUAAGAUUGAUAAAACGCGGACCAAUAUUUUUAAGCAGCAAAUCCAGUUUCUUACAGGGAUGACAGUGGAAGGCCUGCUAACAAAAUCACAGAUCCUGUGAACUCGUUAUGAUGUAGAUAACUGCAAAUGCAAAUACAAGAAACAAUAUAUUCAAACAAGUUCUGCAUCAAUCUGCAUGAAAUAGCUCCAACCGGCAGGUCAUUCUUACAGAUAGUGGAGGUUAGUCAAUGAGCUAAACGAUCUUGGUAGGUCACCGCUGAAAGCGUUGAAUGACAAAUCCCUGAAAACCAGGGGGAAUAAACUUCACAUGAGUGGUAAAGAUCAAAUAAGUUGGGGACAUUGUUAUUUGCAAGGAUGCUGAGGAUGGGAAAAUGCCAUUUAGGGUGGAAAAGAACUGUUCUAGUAUCAAAAUGUGCACUUCUUUCAACAAACAAAAUGAGCUGGAUCCUCGUGAACAAAUAUGUGGAAGACUGUUUCAAGGAAGCACAGAACACAUCUUAACAAAAAGAAAAUGAAAAGGAAAGAGAGAUAAGGAAACAAAAUACGAAUAUUUAGGACAAUCAAUGAGCAGACAACAUAGUCUAUGUGAUCGGCACAAACCACAACAAACAAUUCGUUGUGAAUGAAAGAAAUCAUCAGACAGCCAAUGGUGAGAUGCAGAAAACAUGUAUGGGCACAACUGAACAAGUAACAAGGGCCAUACCAACAAAUAUCAGAGGAAUAAAAGCUAGCAAAUGAAUACGUAUACACUAAUGUACAGCUGAAGUUUCUACUGUAGAUGCAUACGUUAAAGGAAGAAUUUCCAUGUCUUGUUGCGCGUGAUAUAUAACGUCAAAGUGAAAUAAAAUAAUUCACUUCCAAGUGGACAAACGAUUAAGUAAUUAAGAUGUGGGAAUCUUACAUCGUUUCUAAGCUAUCCAUGUUAACAAAAACAUCACCAAUUACUCCAGAGAGUUUAUUGUAGCUGAAGUUCCUGCGAUAAUGGUUACAGAUCCAUCAGUAAAUUGUGCAACCAGAUCUCAGAAUGUGAAAUGCUCCAUUCCCAAAAGUACACUCACAGGUAUUUCAGGGAGUGCAACCAUGGCAAUGAUGCUGGUAUAUUCCCUUCAAACUUGUUGGCUGCCAAAUUUCUGCAAGACAGAAACAUGGGCGCGUCAUUCAUACUUUAAAUUUAAGUAUUUAAGUCACCUAAAAUUGGUAGCCAAAGAAGGGAAAAGGGACAUACAGGUGUUCCACAUUUGGGGGCAAAGUGGGCGGGAUUUCACCAGUAAUGUUAUUGAAGCUCAGAUCCCUAUCAUCAACAUGAAGUAAAGCACCAGAAACUAAAUCGAAUCAUCAAUUGCGAAAUCAAAAUUAGCUAUCAGAGUACAAAAACUUGGCAAUUAGAAGCUCACAGUUUUUUCAAUGACUGAAACUUGAGCAGCUCUGGGCCAAGCCAUCCACCAACUCCGAGCCCGCUAAUGCUUCUGCAUGUGAGUAACAGAGCAAAUAACAAAGCCAAUUGGUCAGCUUUCUAUUAAUUUGUUAGGAAAACUAAUCAACAAGUUAAUGAAUUAACUAAAGAAUUACAUUGUGACAACUGACGAUCCCUUGCAAAAGACGCCUCGCCACCGUCCACGCCCACCACCCUCACUGCAUGGGUCGCCACCCUGGAAUGUCCAACCAGAAAGCUGCCACGGCGACUCCAAUGUGCGAUAUAACCCCCAAAGUCCUAUCGCUGCGAUGCGGCAAAGACAAUGACAAAAUAAGCACAACUACGAGCCUGUUAGAACCUAAUGCAUACAAAAUCCCAACUUCAGAGCACCAAAACACAAACAGACAACAGGAUUGCAUAUUUGCAUCCCACCAAGGCAUUGAGAAAAGGGAAGCGAGCACACAGUCUUAUUCUGUACCCAGGGCUAAACGCAACGACCACUACCAAUCCCAAGUGUGAGCACGCACAAACGGCCAUCCCCUUAACCAUAGCCAACGAUCAAAGGGCUAAACGCCACAGAUGACCAUCCCGCGACCAUAGACAACGAUCACGGAGCUAAACGCUAUCCCAAGCAUGCAUAGACACACGCCCAGGCGCGCGCGGCAUGGAUCGGGUCAAGCUACAAGCCAGUGCCAGACGGCGCGCAAGAAACAACACCCACACGCCCGCUCGGAACCGGAUCGACACGCACGCUCCGAGACACCGCGCGCUCGCGUGCGCAAGCGCGAAGAGCAGAGCGCACCCAGGGGGCAGUGCUCGAUCGCCUACGGAACAGAGGUCCAGGACUCACCAUCGGGGGGGUCGGUGAAGGAAGCAGCGGAGGCGAACGCGGCGCAGAGCACCGCCACGGCGAGGAGGCGGCGCGGCGCCGCCAUUCCGACUCCUCACGCGCGGCCCCUAAACCCGCCGCGCCGGUUCCCGGCGAAAUCCCGGGCUGGAUCGAGCAAUCCCGAGCGCGCGCGAACCGGAGCAGGAGGCCCUAGAACGUUCCGGAAGCUUCCGGGGGAGCCGCGGGCUUGCGAGUUGCGGCGCCGUCUGAAAUCCCUCCCCCAAUUCCGCGCCGACCCGCGAGAUCGCGCUCGGAUCACGGGACCCGGUCGGGAAUUGGAGGAGCCCGACGACCUAUAGGGGGCCGAAUCGCCCGGCGUGGUCGGCUGGGCGAUGCAGAUGCUCCCGGGGCGGCAAGGGUUUGGGGUUUUGGUUUGGUGCGGAGGGAGGGAGGGAAGCUUUUCGUUUUGGGAGGGAAAGGGCGGAGGCGUGGAGCCGAGGGAGACUGGGAAAGCGUAUGGAGGAAGGGAGGCGGUCACGUGCGCGCCGCGCGAGAUGCCGUUGCUGCGGUGCGCUGCGGCGGGCGAUCCGGUGCCGUGGUGGGCCGGCCGGCCGGGGCACUACGGCUAGUUUGGGAGGCCCAGUCCCCAAGUGGAUCCAGAAUUUUCCCUAGAUUGGACCCCCGCGCCGCAAUUCGGUCCCGGGCUAAAAUUCCAUGGUGUUUGGGAGCGCGGCCGGCGGGGGAGGUUGAUCCUAUCCCUGCCUUUUCCACCGGGUGAGACCUCCCCACCUCGAAACACCGGACGUAUAUUCCCCUGUGCCGCUUGCAAGCGCCGUCACGGCGUCGCUCCUACGCCUCCCCCAUCCCUGCGCCUCAUCGUCGCUGCUCCUCCCCAUCCUUCCCAUCCCAACCGCAUCGCCUCCCUGUCGCCUCCUAACUCCGUCCAGGUGCCGCCACCCCUCGCCGUCCAAGUGUUGCCCCCUCCGCCUGCCGCCGCUGCUCCGUCUCCCUGUCCAGGUGCCACCUCUCUGCCUCCAUCUUGUUACUCCUAGGCGUCAAUCUGUGACGAUGUCCUGGGCACUGCUGUUGCAUCGUGUGAUUUUGUCAUGGAUCUCAGUUUUUCUGUGUGCUCUCUCUGUGUAGGUUGAGCUGAAGAAGAGACUAGCCAAGGUGUACGAGGUGAAGGACCCUAACACCAUCUUCGUCUUCAAGUUCCACACCUACUUCGGAGGAGGCAAGUCCACUGGCUUCAGCCUCAUCUACGACAACCUCGAGGCCGCCAAGAGUACCGCCUCAUCAGGGUACUGUGGCGGAUCCACUUCGGAUCUACUUGGUUAAACAUGAUUUAGCCGCCUGAUACGCGACGCUCAUGCCUAAGCCGAGUAAACACGAAGUGCCGUCAGAUUUCCUCCGAUUUAACCACUUAAACAGGACCAUUUUAGCAGACCCACACGAAGGUGAGCGGUUCCAGAGAGUACAACGAGUCCACCGAGUUAACAACUUAACCACUUAGUUUGAUUAUGAAAUAAACAUCAGAGUUUACAAGGUUUUCAGAAGGCAACGGAAAGUAAAACCACUAGCGGAAGCAACGUCGGGGUCGGACAUCCCUGGCGAGGCCAGCCGGAACAUCACUGAUCCCUCUCCUCGCCGUCCGAGGAGGGAUCCCACUCGACCGUCCAACCCGGAGGGAGUUGGGGCGGCCAAGUGCCAGCAGGAGAAGGGUCGGGAGCAGCAACAACACCUGAAAAAAAACAGGAGCCACAACAAGGCUGAGCUACUAAGCUCAACAAGACUUAACCGACAGGAGUAAGGCUACUCCACACUUCUAGACAUGCAAGGCUUUAUGGCUGAGGGGUUUGUUUGCCAAAAGCACUAAGUAAGACCCUAUUUUCAAGUUUUAGCUUCGGUUCUAAGUUCAUUAACCGGUCUAGGUUUUGCAACCUAUUCUAAGCAAUCAUAGAACCAAAACAAGGUAUGUAUAUAUAUCAACAAAACCAUGUCAUCAUUAGAUUCCUCAUUUACUCAGGGUGACAUAGCGAUCAAGCAGUCUCAAACUGUGAGAGGCAGACGAAUCGAUUCGAGUUCUUUAACCAUGCAUGGUGAACCUAACCUCACGACAUCCGCGCACCCAGAGGUCGCUUCCUGUGUCGGCCUUCCCCAUCAAUCCCCUAACCCGUGUCGGGCCCAUUUCCUUUGGUGCAAGGUUUCACCGACCCGGCCUCUGCCGUUCUGUGACCACGCUUGUCACCACGUGCGACAACCAGCAGGGGAAACUCCGUUCCAAGAACAAUGGGGCGACCGCUCACGUCUAGGUUCAAUCCGGUACUAGGCUUCCUCAUCCCAUACUAAGUAUGAGGUUAGUACUUUCAAACACUUGAUCACGAACACCACCACUGUCGGGCCUUAGCAAGUUUUCAUAGACAGACGGGGCGAUCAUCCGACCACCAAAGAGUUACCCAAACCCUGCCCCGUCCAUCGUCCUUACAGUUGUAACAGGAAGGUAGACAUCCAACUCCUACAACUCGCGAGUGACAGGGAAUCACUCGGCUUUUACCGUCUCCUAAUUAAGCAAGCAGCUACUCGGUCCAACAGCUAGUGUUCAGAUCAUGGGAAACUAAGUCAUGCAUCUAGGGUUCCAAACAACUCCUAUACGUAAAUGCACAGGCAUGUUACAGAAGGCAUGCGCAAGUCUGGUAAAACAACACAGGGUUUUCAUGCAACCGGGGCUUGCCUUCGAGCAAGGAGGAAAAGAACUGCUCGACUUCGGGGGCGACUUCGGCUUCUGGGGGCAGGAGCUCAGCUACACCGUCGUCUUCUGGCGCCGGGUGCAGCUCGUAGAAGCCGUCGGCGAGGCGCAGCUCUACACGAAUGCAAUGUAUUAGUUAGCAUAGACGGUUAUUUCAACAGCAACACUUGCAAGUCUGAGCCCAGAAACUUGCGACAAAGAGCAGGAGGGUGGGGAGGUUCAAGGGAGCUGGUGGAGAUCAAAAGGUAAGGGUGGGAAAGGAACUUAUGAUCUGAUCCUUAAACUAGAGGAUGUGGUAUACUAGGGAUCCUCAGACGCAAGCGCUGAAGGGUUCCUAAGUUUUGCACAUACACCCUCGGUUGAAGAAAAGAUCACAGCCGAGCCCUCGGGCGAGGCGGAUAGGGGUCGGCGGAACAGAUAGGGUCGGGCGAGAUGGAACAGGGGUCGGGCGGAUAAGAGGGGUCGGGCAAAGCGGACUGGGGUCGGCAGCUUACCUUCUUCCUACAAGGAAAGCUUGGGGUCGGGAAGAAACAGGCUUGGGCGGAGGGACUAAGGCUUUGAACGGCGGCGAGGUCCGGCAGUGCUCCGGCGGCGGCGGUGCUUCUUGUGGAUCACAAGUGAGCUCUUACGCAGCACGGAGGAGCAAGCGGCUGGGUGGCUCGGGGAAAACGGAGUGGAGCGGAGAGGAGAGUUCCUCAAGAACUUAGCGGUUGGCGCUAGGAGCUUGAGCAGGGAGCAAGAGAAAUAGCGGAAGGCAGCAAUGGCGGAGGGAACUCCGGCGGGGCUCGCGCAUUCCCUUUUAUAGCGGCUGGGAAGGGGGAAAGGAAGUGGCGCGGGAGAGAGAAGGGGAGCGGCGCGAAGGCCGGGGAAGAACAAUGGAGUGCUCUGCCUGGGCGGCGAUUGAGCGACGAGGGCGGUGGUGCAGGACUUCGGGGAUGACGCCAGCGGUCAUCGAGCUCUGGCGUCAGGGCGGCGCAGGAGCGGGUAUGCCGGUGGUUGCAAUUUGGCGGAGGCGGGCGUCGUCGUGCGGUGGAUUUGAUGGAAGUGACCGGGUUAACGGCGCUAGAAUCGAGGCCGCACAGGUGAGAAGACAGGCAGCCGCGGGCGAGCGCGGAGCAACAGAUUGUCGGGCGGCUUCUGACAGGGCGGGGAAAGGAGCUGUCGCGGCCGUGGCCAGGGUUGGCGGAGGAGGGAUCGUCGGGUAGCGAAGACCAGGCGGCAUGACUGUGUUCGAAGUGACGGAAAAGACGGGCGACGUCGGGCUCUGUGGCCGGGAUCUGGCGAUGUGAUGAUGGGCGCGGGAGGUGAGGCGUUGCAGAAAGGUCGCAGAGGGGCUUCCGCUGCCAUUGGGGAAGGGGGCGCGAGAAUCCAUUCGGUCGCGGGCCAGAGACGAGGCCGAGCGGCGGGCGUCGGAGAAGAUGAGCCACGCGGCGGAGAGACUCUGAGGCGGGCAUGCAACUCGAGUGCGCCUGUCGCGGAAGAUCUGGGGAAAAAAAAAGAUCUCGCGGGUCCACCGGUCAGAUAGAACGGACGUUUUGGGAGGACUUAGAAGGAUCCGACGGUGAGCUGGGUUUGGCGGGGUCGGAACCGGAGCAAAGCGGGGAGGGGUCGGGUCUCAGGGGUCGGGACCGGUCGGAAGGUUGAACACUUAGGCGCAGAAAACUCGACAGAUGAUCAGGGGCUAGGAUUUGGAUUAACUUGGAAGAUUUGGGGCCGGUCGUCCCAGCCUACCUCUCUUAAAAGGAAUCUCGUCCCGAGAUUCAGGUAUCAAGGGGGUGUGCUGUUCUUACCUCCAUGACGAGAUAGAAAACCUGGGAAGUGCUUGUUCAGAUACUCGUCUGUUUCCCAUGUUGCUUCAUCUUCGGUGUGGUUUCUCCAAAGGAUCUUGUACAUUUUGACCAUUUGGCGCCGGGUAUGCCUCUCUUUCUGGUCAAGAACUCGGUCUGGGUACUCGGCGUAGGUUAGGUCGGGCUCAACCUGAAGCUGCUCUUGCUCUAAGAUCUCGGUUGGAACUUGGACACAUUUCUUGAGUUGAGACACAUGGAAAACAUCGUGUAUGGCCGAUAGCUGUUCUGGGAGUUGGAUCCGGUAAGCAACGGGUCCACAGAUCUCCACAAUCUCAUAAGGGCCAAUGUAGCGGGGAACCAACUUGCCUUUCACUCCAAACCGUUGUACUCCUUUGGUCGGGGAGACUCGAAGAUACACCUGGUCACCAAGGUCAAACUGUAGGGGCCUUCUUCGGCUGUCGGAAGAACUCUUUUGUCGAGAUUGGGCAGCCUUGAGAUUUGCUUGGAUUACCCUUACUUGCUCUUCGGCUUCUGCCACUAAGUCAGGGCCAUAGAUCUGUCUUUCUCCUGCUUGGGACCAGUUCAAGGGUGUCCGACAUCUUCGGCCAUACAGGGCUUCAAACGGUGCCAUCUUCAAACUGGCCUGAUAGCUGUUGUUGUAGGAAAACUCUGCCAAGGGCAGGCACUUGUCCCAAUUCUUGUCAUAAUGGAUGACACAAGCUCUCAACAUGUCUUCAAGGAUUUGAUUGACUCUUUCGGUUUGACCAUCAGUUUGAGGAUGAUAUGUUGAGCUACGGAUGAGCUUGGUGCCCAUGGAUGCUUGUAGUUGUUCCCAAAAGCGUGCCACAAACUGAACUCCUCGAUCAGAGAUGAUGGUCUUGGGUACACCGUGUAGGGAAACUAUGCGGUCGAGGUACAACUCGGCAUACUGCUUGACUGUGUGGGUGGUGCGGACCGGAAGGAAGUGGGCGGUCUUGGUCAGGCGGUCCACUAUAACCCAGAUGGAAUCAUAUCGCUGUGAGGUAAGGGGCAGUCCAACUAUGAAGUCCAUGCUGAUGUCUUCCCAUUUCCAAGAGGGAAUAGGUAGGGGUUGCAGGGUACCUGCUAUCUUUAGAUGGCUGGCUUUGACACGCUAACAGGUGUCACAUUCUGAAACAUACCGGGCAAUUUCCGGCUUCAUUCCACUCCACCAAAAGGUUUGACGGAGAUCAUGGUACAUCUUAUUGCUGCCAGGAUGGAUUGAGAACUUGGAGAGAUGAGCUUCGUCUAGGAUCUGCUUCUUAAUGUCGGGGUCGGCUGGUACAACCAGUCGAUCUCCAUAAUAUACGCCUCCAGUUUCGUCCUGCCGGAAUUGCUUAUAUCCUUCAUCCUUUAUUAAGAUCUUCCUGAUGAUCCGCUUUAUUUGCUCAUCCUCUACUUGUGCUGACCGUAUUUGGUCUUCCAAAACUGAGUCAAGGGUGAUGUGGCCGAGGGUUCCAUGGGGAAUAAUUUCCAAGCUGAGUUUUCCCAUCUCAUGAUACAGAGUCUCGGUGAGAGUUGUUACCAACAAGCAGUUGUAACGGUUCUUGCGACUAAGAGCAUCGGCCACCACAUUGGCUUUGCCGGGAUGAUAGUGAACUUCUAAGUCAUAGUCUUUUAUCAACUCCAACCAUCUUCUUUGGCGCAUGUUGAGGUUGGCUUGAGUGAAGAUGUACUUGAGGCUCUUGUGGUCGGUAUAGAUGUUGCAGUGGGUGCCCAUCAGGUAGUGUCUCCAUAUCUUUAAGGCAUGUAUCACUGCUGCUAGCUCAAGGUCGUGGGUUGGGUAGUUCAGCUCAUGAGGUCGUAAUGCUCGUGAGGCAUAGGCAAUGACUCGGUUGUCUUGCAUAAGAACACAUCCAAGUCCAGUGCCAGAGGCAUCACAGUACACGUCAAACGACCUAGAGGGGUCGGGUUGAGCCAAAACUGGGGCUGUGGUCAGCAAGUGCUUCAGGGUCUUGAAGGCUUCUUCACACUUGUCGUUCCACGCGAACCUGACCUCUUUCUUUAACAACUCGGUCAUGGGCUUAGCUAUUUUAGAGAAAUCUUGUAUGAAGCGCUGAUAGUAGCCUGCCAAUCCAAGGAAACUCCUGAUCUGGUGCACUAAGGUGGGAGGCUUCCAUUCCAUAACUUCCCGUACCUUACUGGGGUCGACGGCUAUACCAUCCUUGGAGAUAGUGUGUCCCAAAAACUUGACACUAUCUAACCAAAACUCACACUUGGAGAACUUGGCAUAGAGUUGGUGAUCUCUCAGCCGUUGGAGAACUACAUGAAGAUGAUCGGCAUGUUCUUCUUCGCUCUUUGAGUAUACGAGGAUAUCAUCAAUGAACACUACCACAAACUUGUCCAGUUCGGGCAUGAACACCGAGUUCAUGAGGUACAUGAAAUAGGCGGGUGCAUUGGUGAGUCCAAAGGACAUGACCAGGUACUCGUAUAGUCCAUAUCUGGUAGAGAAGGCUGUCUUGGGUACGUCACAGGGUCGGAUCUUGAUUUGGUGAUAACCCGAACGAAGAUCAAUCUUGGAGAACACCUUUGCUCCAGCUAACUGAUCAAACAAGACAUCAAUGCGUGGCAGUGGGUACUUGUUCUUAACGGUCACAGCAUUGAGGGGUCGGUAGUCCACACACAUGCGUAGACUGCCAUCCUUCUUCUUCACAAACAGGGCAGGGCAACCCCAAGGUGAUGUGCUAGGUCGGAUGAAGCCUUUUUCCAACAGAUCAUGCAACUGGGUCUUCAACUCGGCUAACUCAGCAGGUGGCAUCCGAUAGGGUCUCUUGGAUAUCGGUGCGGUGUCAGGGAUCAACUCGAUGGAAAACUCCACCUCUCUAUCAGGUGGCAUGCCAGGCAAGUCUUCGGGGAACACGUCAGGAUACUCACAGACGACAGGGAGGCUUUCUAGACGGGCUCCCGAUAGAGGGUACACACAAGGAAGUGCAGACUUAGGAUGUUUCAAGGAUAGGGUAGAACUGCCAUGGAAGGGUGAGUUGAUGGAGAGAGUUCGGGCGGCUGUGUCUAGAACUACUUGAUGUGGGGCCAUCCAAUCCAUACCGAGGAUGACGUCUAUGCCUGCUAGGUCAAGGAGGAUAAGGUUUUCCUUGAAAAGGGUUGAGCCUAGCUGGAGAGAUACAAGGGUAACGAUCUGAUCCGAUGCUAUCUUUCCUCCCGGAGUGGUGAUCACAUAAGGUUCCUCAGUGUGACCGACAUCCAGCUCACAUCUUUCUCUAGCCUUACUCUCGAUAAAGCUAUGAGAGGCUCCCGAAUCAAACAACACAACAACAGCUUGAUUUAAAAUAAGGAAAGUACCCGUCAUUACUAGCGCACCUUCGGGGAGCUCGGUCAAGCUAGUGUAGUUGAGUCUGCCUUGUCGGACUUGUACCUUGGGCCUUCUUCCUCUGUUUGCCAUGGGGUUCUGACUUUGCUGCUGAUUCUUGUUCCUGGGGCAGUCCUUAGCAAAAUGCCCUUCAUUGCCGAAGGUGAAACAGCGGCUACUAGCUGCAGGGCGGGGUGGUGCUAGUGGAGUCGGCCGGGGCACCUGUGGUUGGAAGCCGGGAGAACGGGGCGCUGCUGCUGGUGGGGGUCGGGCAAUCCACCUUCCCGACUGCUGGGGUCGGCCGGGGGCUGUGGAGGAACCAUUCGGAACCUUUGGGUUGGCUGGCUCGGAAAUGCCACGGAGGCCUUCCUCUUCUGGUCGGCUUUGAGAGCCUGCAUGCAAUCCUCUUGAGAGAUGGCCAGAUUGACCAACUCGUUGUAGGUGUCCACCUUGAUGGGGUUCAACCUUUCCCUGAGCUCCAAGCUCAGUCCUCGGCGGAAUCUGUCUCGCUUCUUCUCGUCAGUGUCCGCAUGAUAGCCGGCAUAACGGCAUAGGUCGUUGAAGGCUUGGGCGUAGUGCAGCAAAUCUCGGGUUCCCUGGGUAAGGGCCAGGAACUCGUUGAGCUUGCGCUCCAGGAGGCCUUCCGGGAUGUGAUGCGCUUUAAACGCGGUCUUGAACUCGUUCCAGCUGACCUCAUGGCCAGCCGGCAGCAUGGCAUGGUAGUGGUCCCACCAAAGCCGUGCGGAGCCACGCAGCUGUUGGGCUGCGAACCGGGCCUUAUUAUGGUCGGGGCACGGGGUGGUGAGAAGCUCGAACUUGGAUUCGAUCGUACGAACCCAGGCGUCAGCGUCGAGCGGUUCUUGUGUCUUCUGAAACAAAGGGGGCUGCGUCCCCAAAAAGUCCUCAUAGCGAGCCACAUGCGGCUGCUGCUGAGCCCUUCCACCAUGGGGUUGCUGCUGUUGUCCUUGUACAAGAUGCCUUAGCAGCUCGGUUUGAGUUGCUAGGAUUGCCUCUAGUGGAGAUGAGGGUGGGGGCGAGGGAAGAUCCUGUCACUGUUCGCUGCUGCCGGGUACAAAACCAGAUCUGGUGCGAUGCGCCAUCUGCAAGAGUUAGCGUUCCAUUAAAUUCCAAAACUUAGAAGUACUCCAACAGGUGGAACGCAUGAGCUAAAUUAUCCAAUGCAACUCUUGCUGAUAAUGCAACACACGUCCUCACAGGGGAGAUACGCUCUUUUCAUCCUCAUGUUAGUUAGCGUUUAUCUUAGCCUUGUACCCAACUUCGGGCGAAUCACACCCUACCCAGACUCCUAUAAUCCAACUUGAGCCACGGGGUCGGGCUAGGUGAUCCUCCCGAGAAAAAGGGUUAGCAACGAUCCACACCAAAAAGGGGGUCGGGCGAGGCGGAGACUGCCUUGAGGGAUCGGCGCAUCCGAUCUCGCGAACCGGGGUUAGCCAACUUGAACAGACUCACAGAAAAACGACGCGUGUGUGAUCGCGGCUCAACUCACUUAGUCUAACAUUCCAACACUUUACAAGAGUUAGAGGUCAGACUCAGGAAUUGACUUCAUAUACAGCGGUGUUCCAACACAGGGAGUACUCGACUCAAGGCUAACCUAUUACAAUCCUUCCCAAAAUUUAGGCUGCCGAGGAGUACAACAAAAGAAUGAGUCCCUGGUAACUCUUAAUCUACCAAUGGACACUAUGAGUAGGAGAAGGGGCGCCGUCUUCUUCGAUAUCCAUGCUGGACGCUUCCUCAUCCUCCUCGGGGUCCUCUUGAGCUUCGAGAUGCAUAUGGAGGGCAUGCAUAUCGUCGAGCUCAGCUUGAUGCUCCUCCAAGUGAGCAUUGGCAACCGCCAGCUCCAUCUCUAUUUCCAUCUUCUCCUCCGACAGCUCGAUCAUGCCGUCCACUAGGUCGGCUACUUCACCUUCGAGCUCGGAGAUCUGGUCUUGCAUGUCGUGUAUCUGAAUGCCUCUUUGGAUAAGCUGGUAGGUUUGGCCUACCAGGUCUCUCCUGGCUGACUGGAGGUAUCCGUGAGCAUCCGCUGCGGUCCGGGCAAAGAUGGUCAUGGCUCUCCCUUGAAGCUCGAUCAGCCGAUAGAGGGCUGUCAUGCAUCUGACGUUGGUGGAGAUGGUGACCAUGGAGUACGUGGUGGCUAGCACCUCAAUAUUUCCAACACGAUCGAGCCACGCCGGAUCCAACCGGUUCCUGGUGGGGAACAGGCCGAUCGGGUCUAGCGUGACUUCCAGGGGAUGCAGCUGACAGAACUUGGUGAGAAGCUGGAGAGCGGCGGACUCCCAAGUGUCCUCCGGAGCAAGGUCGUAGGCUGAUAUUCCGAAGGAGGGCCAGUCGGGCCGCACAGGGGGAGGAGGUACCACCGCCUGUACAUGGCACGUCUGGAUGCCCUGCUCCAAAUACAGUCGUCCGGCGUACAAUGGUGGGGACUGGUACCCAAACCAUUUCAACAUGUCCCACAAAAUCGCGGGGAAACCCUCGAAAUGCAGACAGGUUGACUGGAAAGUACCAUCCGCUCCAAACAAAACAUGCCCGGGGACGGCCAUCUGGAACCAAGAACCAAAACCACGUGAGAUAGACUCAAAGAGUCAGGGGUCGGAUAGAGAAGCAUUCGGCUUUAACCGAGAACAACUGGAAGAAACUAGAAAUCCUUAGAACCGAAAAAGAGCUCUUCCGAGCAAGGUUGCUUUUGAGAAGAGUGACUUUACAGAUUUCUGCUUAUGACGCAUGCACGGCCUACCUUACUCUUAACCAAAACAACUGCCCGAAACCUGGGUCCUACGCAGUCAGUGCCGGUGGCAAGGCAACAAGUACGUCUCUCCCUAUAAUAGCUAGUCGAUUCUAGCAACGUCUCUUAAACGAACGCGGUUAGUGUACCUGCAGAAAACACCAACACACGAACCUUUCGUGCCAGCACCCACAAAAGCGUUCCCAAACAUUACCGCUCACUAUAGGAACGACACCCAUGCGUUUUAAGGCUGCAUGGACAUCACUCAACCGUGGAAAUAGGUUCCCUUUGAAUGGAACCGUAUAACCCUUCGCAUACUCGUGAUGCGGAAUCAGCACACGUAUGAUAGACGUGGCGAAUCAACCGUGCUGAUAGGUUCGUUGGAAUCGAACCGUACCAACCUUCGUAUGGAUUACAUACGGAACCUGCGCACAUGUGAUAGACGUGGGCGAAAACAACCACGAUGAUAGGGUCCUUUGAAUAGAACUCCCUAUCAACCUUCACACACUCGUGAUGCGGAACUCGGCACAUGUAUGACAAAUGUGGCGAAGUGCUGGAAGGGUUAGCAAGAUAACCAAAUAAACUAUUAGCCACCUAAAACAACCCCAAAAUCCCCUAGGGCCUCUCGCACUAAAGUCAUCCUUAACGGUCAUACGAGAUUUUUCAAAAAGUUUCUUGCAACUUUUAUCUUUUCAAGAAGUGUUAGGGCUUGCUGUGUUCUCUGUACUGCUAAACCGGCUCUGGUACCAGCUGUGGCGGAUCCACUUCGGAUCUACUUGGUUAAACAUGAUUUAGCCGCCUGAUACGCGACGCUCAUGCCUAAGCCGAGUAAACACGAAGUGCCGUCAGAUUUCCUCCGAUUUAACCACUUAAACAGGACCAUUUUAGCAGACCCACACGAAGGUGAGCGGUUCCAGAGAGUACAACGAGUCCACCGAGUUAACAACUUAACCACUUAGUUUGAUUAUGAAAUAAACAUCAGAGUUUACAAGGUUUUCAGAAGGCAACGGAAAGUAAAACCACUAGCGGAAGCAACGUCGGGGUCGGACAUCCCUGGCGAGGCCAGCCGGAACAUCACUGAUCCCUCUCCUCGCCAUCCGAGGAGGGAUCCCACUCGACCGUCCAACCCGGAGGGAGUUGGGGCGGCCAAGUGCCAGCAGGAGAAGGGUCGGGAGCAGCAACAACACCUGAAAAAAAACAGGAGCCACAACAAGGCUGAGCUACUAAGCUCAACAAGACUUAACCGACAGGAGUAAGGCUACUCCACACUUCUAGACAUGCAAGGCUUUAUGGCUGAGGGGUUUGUUUGCCAAAAGCACUAAGUAAGACCCUAUUUUCAAGUUUUAGCUUCGGUUCUAAGUUCAUUAACCGGUCUAGGUUUUGCAACCUAUUCUAAGCAAUCAUAGAACCAAAACAAGGUAUGUAUAUAUAUCAACAAAACCAUGUCAUCAUUAGAUUCCUCAUUUACUCAGGGUGACAUAGCGAUCAAGCAGUCUCAAACUGUGAGAGGCAGACGAAUCGAUUCGAGUUCUUUAACCAUGCAUGGUGAACCUAACCUCACGACAUCCGCGCACCCAGAGGUCGCUUCCUGUGUCGGCCUUCCCCAUCAAUCCCCUAACCCGUGUCGGGCCCAUUUCCUUUGGUGCAAGGUUUCACCGACCCGGCCUCUGCCGUUCUGUGACCACGCUUGUCACCACGUGCGACAACCAGCAGGGGAAACUCCGUUCCAAGAACAAUGGGGCGACCGCUCACGUCUAGGUUCAAUCCGGUACUAGGCUUCCUCAUCCCAUACUAAGUAUGAGGUUAGUACUUUCAAACACUUGAUCACGAACACCACCACUGUCGGGCCUUAGCAAGUUUUCAUAGACAGACGGGGCGAUCAUCCGACCACCAAAGAGUUACCCAAACCCUGCCCCGUCCAUCGUCCUUACAGUUGUAACAGGAAGGUAGACAUCCAACUCCUACAACUCGCGAGUGACAGGGAAUCACUCGGCUUUUACCGUCUCCUAAUUAAGCAAGCAGCUACUCGGUCCAACAGCUAGUGUUCAGAUCAUGGGAAACUAAGUCAUGCAUCUAGGGUUCCAAACAACUCCUAUACGUAAAUGCACAGGCAUGUUACAGAAGGCAUGCGCAAGUCUGGUAAAACAACACAGGGUUUUCAUGCAACCGGGGCUUGCCUUCGAGCAAGGAGGAAAAGAACUGCUCGACUUCGGGGGCGACUUCGGCUUCUGGGGGCAGGAGCUCAGCUACACCGUCGUCUUCUGGCGCCGGGUGCAGCUCGUAGAAGCCGUCGGCGAGGCGCAGCUCUACACGAAUGCAAUGUAUUAGUUAGCAUAGACGGUUAUUUCAACAGCAACACUUGCAAGUCUGAGCCCAGAAACUUGCGACAAAGAGCAGGAGGGUGGGGAGGUUCAAGGGAGCUGGUGGAGAUCAAAAGGUAAGGGUGGGAAAGGAACUUAUGAUCUGAUCCUUAAACUAGAGGAUGUGGUAUACUAGGGAUCCUCAGACGCAAGCGCUGAAGGGUUCCUAAGUUUUGCACAUACACCCUCGGUUGAAGAAAAGAUCACAGCCGAGCCCUCGGGCGAGGCGGAUAGGGGUCGGCGGAACAGAUAGGGUCGGGCGAGACGGAACAGGGGUCGGGCGGAUAAGAGGGGUCGGGCAAAGCGGACUGGGGUCAGCAGCUUACCUUCUUCCUAGAAGGAAAGCUUGGGGUCGGGAAGAAACAGGCUUGGGCGGAGGGGCUAAGGCUUUGAACGGCGGCGAGGUGCGGCAGUGCUCCGGCGGCGGCGGUGCUUCUUGUGGAUCACAAGUGAGCUCUUACGCAGCACGGAGUAGCAAGCGGCUGGGUGGCUCGGGGAAAACGGAGUGGAGCGGAGAGGAGAGUUUCUCAAGAACUUAGCGGUUGGCGCUAGGAGCUUGAGCAGGGAGCAAGAGAAAUGGCGGAAGGCAGCAAUGGCGGAGGGAACUCCGGCGGGGCUCGCGCAUUCCCUUUUAUAGCGGCUGGGAAGGGGGAAAGGAAGCGGCACGGGAGAGAGAAGGGGAGCGGCGCGAAGGCCGGGGAAGAACAAUGGAGUGCUCUGCCUGGGCGGCGAUUGAGCGACGAGGGCGGUGGUGCAGGACUUCGGGGAUGACGCCAGCGGUCAUCGAGCUCUGGCGUCAGGGCGGCGCAGGAGCGGGUAUGCCGGUGGUUGCGAUUUGGCGGAGGUGGGCGUCGUCGUGCGGUGGAUUUGAUGGAAGUGACCGGGUUAACGGCGCUAGAAUCGAGGGCGCACAGGUGAGAAGACAGGCAGCCGCGGGCGAGCGCGGAGCAACAGAUUGUCGGGCGGCUUCUGACAGGGCGGGGAAAGGAGCUGUCGCGGCCGUGGCCAGGGUUGGCGGAGGAGGGAUUGUCGGGUAGCGAAGACCAGGCGGCGUGACUGUGUUCGAAGUGACGGAAAAGACGGGCGACAUCAGGCUCUGCGGCCGGGAUCUGACGAUGUGAUGAUGGGCACGGGAGGCGAGGCGUUGCAGAAAGGUCGCAGAGGGGCUUCCGCUGCCAUUGGGGAAGGGGGUGCGAGAAUCCAUUCGGUCGCAGGCCAGAGACGAGGCCGAGCGGCGGGCGUCGGAGAAGAUGAGCCACGCGGAGGGGAGACUCUGAGGCGGGCAUGCAACUCGAGUGCGCCUGUCGCGGAAGAUCUGGGGAAAAAAAAAGAUCUCGUGGGUCCACCGGUCAGAUAGAACGGACGUUUUGGGAGGACUUAGAAGGAUCCGACGGUGAGCUGGGUUUGGCGGGGUCGGAACCGGAGCAAAGCGGGGAGGGGUCGGGUCUCAGGGGUCGGGACCGGUCGGAAGGUUGAACACUUAGGCGCAGAAAACUCGACAGAUGAUCAGGGGCUAGGAUUUGGAUUAACUUGGAAGAUUUGGGGCCGGUCAUCACAGGUAUGUUGCCAUCCGGCCUCUGCUUCUAUGGCACUGAGACAGUAACCUUAUCUUAAGUGAAAGUGUGAUUACUGAUUGUAUCUCUAGCUUAGAUGUGUCACCACUAAUUUAUGUUGUUAGUACAUAUUUUUAAGUAUAAAUUAUGCUGCAAUGUUUCGAUUUGUUUAUGUGGGAACAUCCUGAAGAGAAGUACACAUAUUAAAGUAGAGGCUAGUUGUGCAUAAGCACCUGAGCUACAAAGUAUCCAGAAGUAGAUGUGUCAUACUAUGCAAUUCGAAAAUAUCCUUAUAAUGGUGAUACUAGACUGGUUUACGUUGAGAGUUACUUGUUACAGUAGCAAUAAUAGUUGGUUCUUGUGACCAAAUCUUUUGGGACAGUGCUGGAACUAUCUUGUAGUCAUCUAUUAUGCUUGUGCUUUUUUACAUGGAUCCAUGAACAUAAUAUUCCUGCGUAAUAGUAAGGUUACCAUGGGGCUGAACAAGAUAUUGAUCUGUUAAAACUUGAAGCUGAUAAAAUCAGUUAUCUAGUUUUGAUCAAGCCCACCCAUGGUGGAGGGGGCAAGGUAUGCUAAAAUAUCUCCCACAAGAAAAUAUUUGCUGAAUCACUAUUGCUGGUUCACACUAGAUAACCACUAACUUUUUAUCAUUUUUUCCCUUUGCUAGAAACAUCAUUACAUUGAUUGAACUGCCUGAUUGGUCAUAGAAGAAUAUACCAUAUGGGUCAAUUUGUUUAUAUCAUAUAUUGUUCAGUGCUUGAACUUCUUCGAUCCACUUGAUUGAAAGUUCUCGGUGCUUUGAGUUUCCUUUAGUAAUAUCUAGCUCAUUAGGAACUAUUGUGCAUGCAUACGUUGGAAACUUCAACCUGAAUUGAUGAUCUUGCCAAUCAAACGAACCUUCUUUAAUUUAUUUGGAUCAUGUACUUCUAGCUAGCUAGAUGAUCUGAAGUUCUGAAUGGCAUGUGCCGAAACUGAAGUUGAAGUGAUUAUUUUGAUCCUUGUAAAAAUUUUCUCCAGAGGUUAAAAUGGGAGGAUGUUGUUUGUUGAAAAAAGUGGGAGGAUAUUUCCUUUCUUUUUGAUUUUGAACCAAAAUGCUAGCUUAUAUCAUAUAUUUUUGUUCAGACUGCAUAUAUCAUAAAUCCAUCCACUAUCAUCCUCAUUUCUCAAGCAAUAGUUUAAUUUAGACUUGUAAUCUAUUGUACAAUAUAUUUAGUUUAUUUCUAUGCCCGAUACUAUCAUUAUCUCAUAUAUCUUUUCAAGUGUUUUUAACUACACUGUUUUUGGAAGUUCAACAAUUUUUACAGUGUUUUUAAGUAACUAAUUUCUAUCUCUCUCCUGAUUUCUAGAUAGUAACUGUACGAUAAUACUUCUACUUCUUUUGUUAGUUCUUUCCUGUUGAUGACACAUGUCUACUAGAAAUGAUUGCCUAUUAAGGAUGCUCUGAAAAUGGUGUUAAAAAAUUUUGUGCCGUAGUUUCGUUAUUGGUUGCAGGACACUAUUGUUGUGACAAAAAAAUUUCAUGGUAAUAUUUAAUUUGCAUGUAGUGUGAUGCAAGAUUCAUGUAUUAUUUAUUUUGCAUGUAGUGUGAUGCAAGAUUCAUGUAUUAUUUAUUUUGCAUGUAGUGUCAUGCAAGUAUUCUUGCAAGUAUUCCAAUUUUCACCACCUGUGAGCUUUUUUUUUCUAGACCAUAUGCAUUUGAGUGACAUAGUUUACUUACCUUACCAUAUACAUACAUAUAGUUAAUGGAAUCUUGGGAGGGUGAAGUUAGGAGAUUCAUGCUAGAGGAGGAAGAAGAGGAUGACGAGCUAUUCCUAGUUAUGGUCCCCGCGUUUCAGUAGUGUUUAUAUGAGGAGAAAAGGUCGGAGCACACCUCAACUCUGUCUAGUGCUAAAAAGGUCAGACAAAUCUUGGAAGGCCACGAGAAUUGGUGCAAAGUGAAGUUCAGGAUGGAGCCUGAGAUAUUUAGAGUUAUAGCAAAUUAUCUUAGAGUGAACUUGUUAUGUGACACCCAUGGUGUUAGAGUUGAGGAGCACCUGGGAAUGUUUAUGUUCAUGCUCUCUCAUAAUGUAAGCACCGAUAGGUUAAAAAAGAAAUUCCAACACAGUGGUGAAACAAUUCAUAGGAAAAUAAUAGAGUUCUUCGAUAUAAUUCCAGCAUCGACUCAUAGAUUCUUGAAGCUCCCAAAUGUGAACCAUACACAUGUGAAGAUUGCUUCAGACCCUCGAUUUAUGCCUUUCUUCCAUAACUGCAUUGGGACUAUUGAUGGCACUCAUGUCCCUAUCACCAUUGUACAAGAAAGAGCCGCUCCCUACAAAAAUAGGAAAGCAACCUUGUCACAGAACGUGAUGUGUGCAUGUGACUUUGAUUUAAAUUUCGCUUUCAUCUCAUGUGGUUGGGAAGUAUCUGCAUCUGAUGCAGGGGUCCUACGGUCUGCACGUGCAAAGGAUUUUCAUGUGCCUGCAGGGAAGUUCUACCUUGUAGAUGGUGGAUAUACAAAUACAUCCUCAUUCAUUGCUCCAUACCGAGGAGUUAGAAAUCAGUAUGCAAAUUACAAAGAACUAUUCAAUCAUCGGCAUGCGCAGCUUUGCAAUCAUAUUGAAAGGGCCUUUGGUGCGCUAAAAAAGCAACUUCCAAUCCUGAAAGUUGGGACAUUUCAUCUAAUUGAGAAUCAAAUUAAAAUUCCAACGGCAGCUGCAAUAUUUCUCAAUCUCAUUGGAGGGCAAAAUAGGGACGAAGGGUGGCUGGAUCACCAACCAAAUAAUAUCAACCCAUCUGAUUAUGUUGAAUUGCCAGAGGGAGAUAACAACUACCCAAAUGAACUGCAAUCAAAUGAUGGAAGCACCCUACGAGACCAAAUUGUCCUUCAGAUGUGGGCUGCCUGUAAUAAUUAGGUGAAGCAUAAAUGUAAGCAAUAGUAUGCAUGUAUUGUUUAUUCCUGCACUAUUUUUUUUUUUGCUUCAUUGCUUAUUUCUAUAUUGUUUUUACGACAACCUUUAUCUAAUCUUGUUUAUUUCUUGCAGCGAUGUCAAUGGAAAGGGCUACAUGGAGCUACACGUAUGAGAAGGGACUUGCGGAUACUGAAAGAGCUUGUCAACGUCCCAAUGUUUAACGGACAGAAUGGGUGGACAACAGAAGGUUGGAGGAGUAUCACAAACAAACUCAAUGAUAUGUUUCCAACGGCACAUUUCACAAAGCAGCAAGUGCAAGAAAAGGAGAAAGAGCUAAAAGGAAACUAUAAGAUAAUAAAAGAAGCAACAAAAAGUGGUGUUGGCUGGAACGACACUUUAGGUAUGAUCAUUGCAGAAUCAAAAGGUUGGGAGAAGUUGAUUAAGGUUAGAUCUCUUAAACAGAGUAGAAUUUUGAGAGGCACAUUUUGGUUCUAAACUUCUAAUCAUAUAUUUUUUUUAACUUCAAUAGGAUAACCAUAAAGUUGCCAAAUUCCACAAGAAGUCAUUUCCUUUAUAUAACAGCUUGGAAUUAUUGUAUAAAGGUAAUGCUUUCAUCUUGCUCCUAUUUACAUUAAUGACCACAACUUUAGUUAAUUAUUCACUUCUUCACCCAUUCAAUUGUUUGUUUAAUAGGAAGUGUGGUCACAGGGGAUUUAAAUUUUACAUCAAUUGAGCCUCCACCACAAAGAACUGAGCUGUGAGCUGAACCCACUCCCCAAAGAAGUGAGCUGCGAGCUGAACCCACUCCCCAAAGAAGUAUCUCAGAGCAAAGCAAUCAUAGCACAACACCCAUGAUAUGAACCCGUUGGGUUGAAUCCCGAUCUUUUGAUGAGAGAAGGUGGGGAUAACUAGAUUGGGGAAUGGAGACGACAUUCAUGGCCCGACUACAGCCUUCCAAGGAUGCCGCACCGUAGCAACUGAUACACCACCUCCAAUAGCUGCCGCGAUCUUGUGGAUCACGUCGUCCGACCACUAGAGCACUCGUCCUGUAAGCAAUCGAAGAAUUAGCAAGAACAAUUAUAACAAGUACUAAAUUACUAGAUGCAGAUGAAGGUUUCAAACUCAAACUCAAUUACGGUGUGGUUCCGAAGACAAGAAGAUGGAUGGCUGAUUCAGCACGCUCGCUUAUAAGCAAGAAACAAAAACUAAACUUAAUCUAAACAAAAUCCGAGUGUUCCUGGUGAUGGCUAAGGGGUAUAAGAAUGUGGGAGGAUGACCACAAGGAUGUUGGGGUCGUGCUCCAACCCUAGGACGCGUCCCUAAUGGACCCAACGGCCCAUUGGGCCAAAAUAAGGCGACGCAGUACCUUGGAUAGAAAAAUCUCUUGUUAAUAAUUUGAUCAUUGUAGCCACCUCAGAAUAGAUAUGUACAUGAUUCCAGAUCCAUAUGAAAAUAGACUUCAUAAGGAUUCUAUGAAGUACUUGAACAUCCAAAACGGAGUCUAGAUGAAGUCGUGACGACCGUUGCAAGUUGGCACAAUGUUGCAGUCCGAAUCCAGCCCCAAAACGUGUUGGAUUGGAUCUCUUUCUUUACUUGGGCCAAAAGUGACGUGGUGGCCUGGUGGAGGACGUUGGGAAUACUUGGACUUGGUCCCCAGUCAACUUCUUUGGCCCUCCAUGCCUUCCAUGUGUGUUUAACACUAUUUUUGAUCCACGUAUGUAUUUCUGAAAAUGACAAUAAGAACACACAUCAUGAUGCAGUAUCAAUUCAUCAAAUGUAUCAAAUACAAUCAUGAUAAAGAAUUAUUUCACCUUUGAGUCAAAAGUUAUCAACGUGGUUGUAUCUGAGCAGGUGAUGUCCUCAUCAACCUAGCUUUGGAUAUAAUGGCAUGGCUUCUAUUGAUAGAAAUCCACUCAAUUUUGAUCUUGGUGGUGUAGAAAGCACAGAAGUUCAAUCUGCUCUAGCCAGUCGUAAUUCAAAGGACCAAGAUGUUACCGGUGGAAAGAAACAUAAACAAAGUCAGAUGGCAGCAAAACUUGGGGAUUACAUUGACUUUAGAAAGGAUCAGAUUGAAAAAAACUCUAGAAAAGUUAGAAGAGAAGAAGAGACAUGAAGAAUACUACUCAAUCGAGAAACAUAUUGACAUUGUGGAUGCCAUGGAAGGGCCAUCGGAUGAACAAAAAGUUAUUGCAAAUAAAGUUUUCCAAAGUGAAACAAACAUAAAAAUAUUGGUGGGCACCAAAAACCCAAGUGUUUGACUGAUUUGGUUGAAGAAAAAGAUUGCUCGAGUAUGUUCCCUUUUUCAGUUUUGUACCCUUGCUCAAGUGUCGGUUGAAUCCUCUAUUUGCAUAUAUAAAACAUAAAAUUUUGUCCCCUGUUGGUGUCACUAUAUUUUUUUGUGUUCCAGCUUUCUAACUCCAGUGCUGCUACAAAUGAAAACUAAGACGCCCCUUGUGCCUGCCUUCAGUGCUCAUAUAAGGUAUGUUUGAAGCAUUUUUGUUUCAAUGAUCAUUUCAGUAGGAUACAUGCCAUGUCUAGCUGUCUGUGCAAUACAUAUCUUGUCACAUCUCUUGUCUGCAACAUAUCUUGACAGAUAUCUGCAACAUAUCUUGACAGUAAUUUUAACCUUGUCAAUACUAGUAUUACACCAUCCACUAUACUAUAACUUCUAAGAUGGUGACAUGUAAUGGUCAGGCUUUCCAGUAAUAAUAGCAAAAGGAGUAUUCAUGUGAAUAUCUAUGCGCAUAUGUAUAUAUUUGAUCAUUUAAUUUUGAUAUUAUGUACAAAGGUUUUGCUCAUUACGUAGACCCAAGUCUUGUUCAAUUGGCAUUCAUACAUUACGAUCUAUAUAUAUCUUUGAAUUAUCUGAUCAAUAUGUUAUAUGCAAGAUUUUAACUAUAUACCUAAAUUUUCUACAGAACAAUUGAUGGAUCAAUAAUUUUCUGAUGCCUCAUUCAUCUGCUAUCAUCUAUAUGGUCUGAAGGCUGACGAUCAAUUUUGAUUAUAUGUGUUCCUAGUUUGCUAAGCAAAGAGCUAUUUUAUUAUGAUGUGCCAUGCUACCUUCAAAUUCUGUGACAUGAAUUUUUCAUAUUGGAAUUUGUCUUAUUUCGUUUAAAUCUAGCUAUACGAUAAUUGGUCAGACAGUGUACUCUAUGUCAAUUUGCAUGAUUGCAUCUCUUUAUUCAGACUGUGUUCUGACUAGACAGGAUCCGGCUAACAAGCUUGUCAAUGAUCACUCCUGUAGAGGAUUCGGUUAACAAGCUUGUCAAUGAUCACUCUUGCAGAGGAUUCGGCUAACAAGCUUGUCAUAUGGAGUUGACCAUGUGCCACAGAUUAGUUUGGUUUAACUCUAGCAUGAAUUGUAUUUAUCACAAAAUGUUGAUACAGAUAAUGUAAUUAUUUCUUAUGUUGUGGUUAAUGGUGUGCAUUGCUGGUUUAAAAAUUCAGAACACAUGAUGAAAUUUGGUAGCUACCAAAGGAUUACUUGUGUACAUGCAAAUUUUAUUAUGUGUGUACAACAACAGUCCAACGAAGCAUGUAUGACACCAUGUAUGACCUAUUGGGUCUGCCCCUCACCACUUCCUAUCUCCAAAUAGCAAUGGGUGGGGAGGGAGGCCUAGGGAGGCACCACCCAGGGAAUCCAUUGGCCAGGGAAAUCCUCCGGGGUUCCCUUCCACGGGCUAAUCUGCCACCAGCUCCCAAACUAAGCCUAAGGGUGCGUUUGGCAACUAAAUGGGAAGGGGCAUGUGAAUUAGUGGUGGGAGUUGGAGGAGAGAAUUCACUUGGGAAUAUGAUUUUUAGUCCCAUUCCCUUGUUUGUCUUUUGGAGGGAAUUAAGUGUGGGAAUUUAAGUGAGACUUCAUAUCCCUUACUUGGUAUAAGGGUUUAGAGGAAGGAAAUUAUAUCUUAAGUCAUGAUUAACCUAUAGAUACAUCCAUCUUGCAUUUAAAACAAACUCCCACCCAAUUCCCGCCCCUCCCCCUGGGAAGUGAUUGGUGGGAGUUGCUCCUCUAAACUCUCAUUCCUCAUCCCAUUAAAACUCCUAUGCCCACCAAACAAAUAAGAGAAUUUUAGUCUUUCAUAUCUAAACUCCCUUUCCCUCCAUCAAUUACCUCCAACCAAACGAGCCGUAAAGGCAGUGUGUUGCGCGAGAAAGAGUUUGGAGUUUGGACAGUUGUAGAGAGUGGAGAUGCUGUCAAGUGUCAACAAGGUUACAGCUCUCAACAAGAUUACAGCUCUAAUACCGUGUAUUGGACUAUUUGGUUAAUACUCAAUACUUUUUUAACACCAUGUUUUAUGAGCUAAUGAGCAGCUUCUGAAUAUAGAAAAAAAACAUAUUCAGUGUGUUUGGUUUCUGAAUCAUUUAAUUCAUUCGGCAUGAAGAAGGUAGAAGGAUCAUCUCAUCCAACUUAUUUUGAGGAACGAGUUUGCUCAAGAGAUUGCCUAGCCGUUGACAUAUGGGAACACAUGAGGGGAGGUGUGGUGUGCGAUGGAGCGAUGUAACAUCUCCAAGCUGAAGCCACACCCGAAUACUUGGGUGAAUGUUGGGACGUUGUUGAGAGGAAAGAGGAAGAGGCAGCUGAAGCUAUGGUAGGCAAGAUACGAUGGUGCGUGAGGAGCCAAAUAGGGGGUGGAGGGAGAGGGGUUGUCCCUCAAGGGGCAACAAGAUCCCAACGAUAGGAUCUGGAGUCUGGACCUUGAUGCACCGACUAGGGUGGAGGGAUCUCGACGUAUGGUAGGUGAGCUCGAUGCAAUGAGCAAUUGGGGGGAGGUGUCUCGGUGCGGCUUGCGAGCAGGGUACUUGAGGUGGUACGGUUAGGUUGCAUGGGAAAUAGUUUGAGGAAGUCGAGAGGGGGAUGCGACCACAGACAUUGGGAUGGGUAAGCUACGAGUCAAGUGUCAGCAACAUUACGGCGUUGGCCCGUCUAUUAUUCAAUACCAUUUUGAACACCCUGUGAGUAGCUUCUUGAUAUCCUCCUAAAAAAUAUAUUUCCACGUAAGCUGUGUGAAGUUCCUUAUCGGCCUAGGAGCGACUAGUGUAUGAUUGUGGUCCCUAUGAGGCUGCCCCCCUUCCACGAAACUUCCUCUACCAUUGGUUAUGUGGGCCCGAUACUACUCGUUAUUAUAUUGCUUUGCGUCCCAGAAUGAUUGAUCUCAAUCGCUACCCUCAUUCCUCGCAUUAUAUAUAUUCCCACAGAGGUAGAAGGCGUGGUCGGGCUGCAAUAGAGGGGGAAGUGCAGAGAAGCCAUGCGAGAUCUCCAAGCCGAAGCUAGGAUCUGAUGCUUCAGCGUUGGGGCACUGUUGGACUGAAAAAAUGGAGAGGACUUGAAGCUAGGGUCAAGAUGCGGAGGUUAGAGAGGGCGUAGCUAGAGCUAAAAAGAUAGAAGGCUUGCGAGGGGGCACUGCGACAUCCCCAAGCCAAAGGUAGGGAACUCGAUACGGAGACAUGGGAGCAGGGUUGUCCCGUAAGGGCAACAUUAUCUCAAUGAUGAGGUACGAACCUCCAUGUACCAUCCACGAUGGAGGGACCUUGAUGUACCCUAAACCCUAGGUAGAGAGCUCCACGUGGUGAGAGAUUAGGGCCGGGGGAGGGAGUCUCAUCGCGACAGGCCUAAAUCUUGGUGUAGGAGCGAUACUAAUGGCUAUUCGUGAUGUUUUUGUAUUUCUUUUCCUUUUGUUUUCCAGUUCUAAUAAGUUUAAAAUUUUCAUCAGUUUUUGAGAAACCUUUUUCCUUCAAAAAGAUCUAUAAAUUUAGGAGAAAGUUGUUGACCCUUUUUCUUUUUCGAGUGAAUCUCGUCCCCCAUUUUUCUUUUCGAAUUUUGUUGUUCUUCUUGUGACCGCAAGCGCCCAUCUUCUAUGCAUACCAUGAAGGCAUGAACAAAAACUCCAUGCAGGUGCGUGGGCCCAUGUUUAGCCACAACUACUUGGAUUCUCUUUACCAUCUCCCUUAUUCCACCCACUCUCCUGAUUAGCCUUGCCAAUCUCUGCUUCCUAGGCAAAUUUCAAAGAGCUACACUGCGUGGUUUUAAGAAAGGAAAAUAAUUGAUUCUCUCCUUAAGUUAUACAGAGGCUUAUUAGAAAACAACGGUUAACUACCUGUAUAGGGGCAUAUUGAGAAACUACGAUUAAUUACACCAUCCUAUAGUAGGAGCCUAUUGAAGAACUACGAUUAGUUACACCAUCAUAUAUAAGAACCUAUUAAAGAACUACAAUUAAUUACGCCAUCAUAUAUAGGAGGUAAUUGAAGAACUACGAUUAAUCAUGCCAGGUGGAGUAGCAGUUGUAUGGUGCAAUGAAUAUGCUGCUAAAAAAUAAUACUCCCUCCAUUUUGUGUGGGCGUGGUUUUCGGUGGGCGCGGUUUGGCCGUUUAGUCGAAUACUAUGUGAAUUAUAUGCCCGAAAAUCAAUACUAUUGGAUUAAAAGUAUUUUCUAAUGAUUUUGAUUUCGUAAUUAUUGGUAAAUACGAUAUGAAAGACCAAUCAUGGACGGUCACACUAAAACUGAACGGGGGGAAACCGUCCCGGUAUCAAUACAUGCGAAACACGCAGCAGCAAGAGCAGGCAAAUGCCAUUUCGCAAAACAAAAAUAAUAAACAAAGAAAUAAAAAGAAUACAGGCAAACGGCAUGCAUGGCAAGUCUAGGAGACUGCCCAUAAAUACCCCUCCAGAACAUGAGCGGAGGCACUCGCUUCAUUCCUGCGCUCUACUCUCACUCGCUAGCUCCUCCCGUCUGCUAGCUCUCUCGAUCUCUGCAUCGCCGACGCGAGAGAGAGAGAGACAAGAGGGUGACCGAGGAAGCGAGCGAGAUCGUCGUCGUCCUCCCCACCGCCGCCCACUUCAUCUCCUGGUAUUGCAGCUGCGCUGCCGUUCCUGCGUGCUCCGGCCGUGUUGCAGCGAGAAACUGUUGCAUUGGUUUGCUCCGCGUAUAGUUCGCUAGCUCUCAGAUGUAACGAUGGAAAUGAAGCUGUGGAUCGGAUCUGUUAGAGCAGAUCGAGCUCUUUCGUUUUCGUUUUGGAGUGAGAAUAGCUGCCUGGUGUGUAGUGUAACAUGUCGGGGAAUGCAAUCUGAACGGUGCACACCUAGUGAACGUUGGGAAGCUAUAUGGAGACAACUCUGCAUGUACAAUUCUUAGCAAUGCAUGGUCGAAAGGUCGCCUCGAUCGCUCACCGAUCUAAACAUGCACGUAACCAAGAAUCCUCAUACAUGAACUGCUUUACGAGGUUGAUGGCUUCAUACAAGGGAAUAAGAUUUGCUUAUUGCUAGCUAGAGAUCUGAGGUGGCAGCUUACUGGAUCCUCAGAUCUAUCGGAGGGAGUUCGCAAUCUAGAUCUCUUUGCACGGUGUUCUCUUUCUGUUCCGGAGAUAUACUUCCGUACAAAAUUCAUGGGUCCCUUUUUUUCCUCGACGCAACCCUACACGUGCGGGUUUUUUUCCAUUUAUCACAUCGUAAUACGACACCUUUUAGGAACGCUCGCGCCUCUUUUGUGGUAGUAGAUGAGUUACACGUGUGGUGCUUACUUGUCUCGCUAUCGAUGGUUUCAUGCGUUUCUUUUCCUUCGCAGAAAAUGCCCUUUUUGUCGAUUCUAGCUUUACCUCCAUUAUGUACGUGCGGUUUUUUCAGUUAGUUCAACGGUAACCCCACACAGUGAUGCGUACGUAAGCUUUGAUUAUCAGUGCUUUAGCACUAUUCUUAAAUGCUCACUAUAUUUCCACCUUUUGUUGUUACAGGUUCCUUUAGUGAUAAACGACCGUCCUACUACUAGAGCUGAUCGAAUCUUUUACAUUGCUGUUAAUUUAGGACGGGACAAUCACGGUUCUAAAGGUAUCAGCUUUAAGAUCCUUCCUUGGUUGUUUGAUGUAUGCUUUAUUAGCGGUGUUCUUUUUUUUUUGCGUGAGCGAUUGGUUCUUUUUAGCUUAUAUAUAUAGACUUGUUAGUGGUGUUCAAAAUUAGUACCAAAGUCUUGCUUUCUAACCUCAAUCACUCUUCAUGUUUAUGAAAAAGUCAUUUCAUCACUAAUUUUGCAUGUGUAAACGCACUAAACCUUAUCUUUUGUGGUAGUAGAGUUACACGUGGUGCUUUAAUCAACUUAUCUACCUAGUUAUCGAUGGUUUAGUGCCCUUUUUGUCGAUCCAAGUUAUGCCUAUUUUGGGCGUGUAUUUUUUCGGUUUGAUCGAUCGGUUACUGCAGAAUGAUAGCAGUAGAAUUGUGCCGUUAUUAUUACCUUACUUUUUUUAUUAUCAUGCUUUAGCACUACUUUUAAAUCCUUGGUAUUGCAGCUGUGCUGCUCUUCCUGCGUGCUUUGGUGUAGCAACAAAACUGCUGCUUUGUUCCGCAAAUGUAGUUUUCUCUCACAGAUGCUUGUACUGAGGCUGGGCAGAAAGGGCCGGGUGAUACAUGGAAAUAAUGGGAUUCUGGUAGAGCAGAUCGAGAGCUUUUUGGAACAGUAUUUGUUUUAUUUUUCUUUUUGUUUUUUGGUGUGAGAAUAGCAUGCAUGCCUUGCCUAGUGCAGUGUAACACGAAAGGGAACGCAAACUGAUCCAUCCACAGGUAGUGCACGCUGAAAAUCUAUGGAAACAACUUUACACGUUUCUUAGCAAUGGACUAAAUUAAAGAUCGCCUCGUCAGCGGUCUAAAGAUGCACGUAACCAAGAAUCCUUAUACAUGAACUACUUGUACGAGGUUGAUGUGAGGGAUUAAACUUUGUUGUUGCUAGACCUUCGCCCGAUCCUCAAAUCUCGAGGGAGUUCGCAGUCUAGAUUUGUCGCACGGUGUUCUCUUCCUCCUCUUGAGAUAUACUUUAGAGCAAUAUUCAUGGAUGCAUCUUCCCUUUUUCAUUCCAUACAACCGUCCACAUAGUGAUUUUUCCAAUUGUUCAUUGGGUUGUUACAAGCUACCUUCUAGGAAUGCUCGUUGCCUCUUUUGCAGUAGUAGAGUUGCACGUGGAGUUUUGAUUAACUUACCAGCAUGAAUUUUAAUGGUAUUUAGUGUGCUUCUUUCCUCGAGGAAAAUUACCUUUUUUGCUGAUUCAAGUUAUGUCUAUUUUGGACUUUCAGUUUUUUAGUUCUUUUGAUGGGACUGUGAUGUUUAUUACCUCGUUUGCAGUAGUAGAAACGUGGAGCUCUGAUUACCUUGCUUGUUUUUAUUGCCAAUGCUUUAGCACUACUCUUAAAUGCUCACUAAGAUAUUUUCCCCCAUUAUUUUGCAGGUUCUUUCUUGCAAUAGACCAUCCUUCUAGUGAAGUUUUGAUUGCUGAAGCUGAAUCUUUUGCAUUGCUGUUACGCUCAGGGAAGAAAAUUACGGUUGGCUCUUGAUCCUUCCUUGGUUGUUUAAUUUGACACUGCGUUUUAUUGGUGCUGUAAUUUUUUUCCCGUCAACACUUGUUUCUUUUUAGCUUGCAGCGUGUCUUUUGUUAUUGAUGUUCCAAAUAUCAGUAUUAAAUGAAAACAUCUUUCCAACCUUAAUUACUCUUCACUAGUCCAUCAACCCGUGCUCCCGCACGGACUAAUAUUUUUUAGAAGCUAUUGCAUUUAAAAAUUAUUUAGAAAUUAAACUUCUAGCUAAUAAUCAAAAUUGUCUACCUACUGCUCUCUUAUUUUUCAAUACUUCAACAUAAUACUUACAUAGAUAUGUAUCUAUCUUUGUCCAGUUGUGAUUGAUUUUUAAUUAAUAAUUACUCAAUACACUUUUUCAUCCAUAUUCAUAUUUUUCCAUUUUGUAUCACACUUUCAAUCCUCCAUACAUUAUGUUUAGCAUACAAAUCAAUAUUUUUUCAUCGAUUCCUCACAUACAUGUAUAAAUGGUCUAAAUGGUGGCACUCAUCAUGUGUAUAUACUUUAACUUAGUAUUUUUAUAUUAACAAUGACAUAAAUACGUAAUUUAAAAUUAUAUAUUAAUUUACCUUUUAACAUUUCUGUACGAUGCACAUGAAGAUAAUUAGAUUAAGAUUUAAAUGUUUACUUUAGGUUAUUUUUAAUAACGACAUACGUGGAUAACAUAGAUCAAAUUUUAGAAUGACAUUUUAAGUUAUGCUUUAUAAUGAUGUGUAUUAGUAAAUUGGAUGAAGGUUAUGGGGUUACUUUAGAUUAUUUUUUAUAAUAGCUGAGCUCAGUAAUUGAAAUAUAGGUUUAGAGCUCAUUUUUGAAUACUUUCACAAUAAUAGUGGUGGGUAACUUUUUAGAAAAUAUAAUAGAUCAAUGGCUAUGAUUAUUAGAGUUUACAGGAUUGAUGUUUGACGUUUUUAAUUUUUAUGAGAAUUUGUCUCUUUUUUCUGGCUUGUCUCGUGGGAACUCAUGCGAAGCCUCCAAUGGAAAAAAUGAGACUACAUUGCUAAAAAACUAUUACCAUAAGCUAGCUCUCGUUGUUAAAUAUUCGAACACACAAUGCUUAUGUAGAUAUAAACUUAAUAUCUUCAUCUAAUUAUGAUAGAUUUUAGUUAGCAACUACUCUAUAAUAUUUUCAUCCACAUUUAUAAUCUUUAACUUUUCACUUUGCAUCGUAGGUAUGCGCUUGAAUUUGUUUAAUGAACGUUAAGUUUGAGAUACAAUUUUAGCAUAGAAAUCUAUAUUCUCAUCACUUUAUAUCCUUAUAAAUGGUGACACACAUCAUGUGUAUAGACCUUAAUUAUUAUAUCGUAUACCAAUAGUGCAAGAUAUAGACGAUUUAGAAUUAUAUAUUGUUGUAUAUUUUUAAUUAAGGUUAUUUGAUUCAAACGUAGAGUUACCUCAUGUUAUUUUUAAUAAUGGCAUGUCUGGGUAAUAUAGAUGCAAAUUUUAAGGGGUUUACAUUUUUUAAGUAAUAGUGGUAGGCAAUUUAGUUGCAAAUUAGGGGUUAUUUUAAAUAUUAUUUAUAAUGGUAUAAGUGGGUAAUUUUGAUGAAGAUUAGGGGGUUACUUUAGUUUAUUUUAUAUAAUGGCAGAGGUGGGUAAUUUAUAUAUAGAUUUAGGGGGUUACUUUAGGCUAUUUUCAUAAUGGCAUAGGUGGGUAAUUUUUUAGAAAAUAUAAUAGAUCCAAUGACUAUGAUGAUUUGAAUCUAUCGAUUGAUGGUCGGAUGUUUUGCUUUUUUUGAGAAUUUCUAGAAUUUCUCUCUUUUUCUAGAGUAUCCACCUAGGAUUUCUAGGUGGCUUCACCUGGAGGCUUCAAAAGAAGCCUCCAAUUACUAUUAGUAAUAGUAAGAUAAGAUGCCUAUGGAAAAAAAUCUUUCCAUCACUAAUUUAGCAAGUGUAAAAGCGCUAAACUUUUCUUUUGCGAUAGUAGAGUUACACAUGUUGUUCUGAUUAAAUUACUUAUCCGGCUAUUGAUGGUUUGGUGUGUUUCUUUCCUCCGAGAAAAUUGUCCCUUUAGUUGAUCCAAGUUAUGCCUUCAUUUUGGACGUGUGGUUUUUCAAUUUGUUUGAUGGGUCACUGCACAGUAAUGCCUAUCACCUCUUUUGCGGCGUUAGAAUUCUUGAAAUCUGAUUACCUUACUUGUUUAAUCAUCAAUGCUUUAACACUAAUUGACAAAAUUCAUGAGUCACUUUUCCCUUAGACACAACCCUUUCUAUCGAUCCAAGUUUGUCGAUUAGUGUGCAUUUUUCCUUCUCUUCAUUAUGUUGUAACGGGUUCCUUCUAGAACCCUCAUUGUCUGUAAAGUUACACCUGGAGCUUUGAUUAACUUAAUUGUUUGGCUAUCGAUGGUUUAGUGUGUUUCCUUCCUUCGAAAAAACUACCGUUCUGUCGAUCCAAGUUUUACCUCCACUUUGUACGUGCAGUUUCUCAGUUUGUUGAAUGAGUUACCAAAUAGCGAUGCUUAUCACCUCUUUUGUGCAGUAGAAUAGUGGAGCUCUGGUUACUUUGUUUGAUUAGCAAUGCUUUAACACUACUAUUAAAUGAUCACUAUAUUUUUAUCCUCCAUUGUUACAGGUUCCUUUUGUGAUAGACCAUCCUACUACUAUUGGAGUUCUGAUUGUGCUGAAGCUGAAUCUUUUACAUUGCUGUUACACUCAGGUGGGGCAGUCACGGUUCCAUAAGGUACUGGCCUUCCUUGGUUGUUUGACUGGGCGUGUUAUUGGUGCUUUUCAUUUUUUUUUCACGUGAGCGGUUGGUCAUUCUUAGCUUGCACUAGUCCUUUUUUGUUAGUGUUGUUCAAACAAUUUUAGUGCCAAGUGGCAAGUCUUUCCAACCUCAAUAGCUCUUCAUGUUUAUGAAAAAGCCUUCCCAUUGCUAAUUUAGAAUGUGUAACUAACACUUUUCUUUUGCGUUAGUAGAGUUAUGCUGGUAUUUUGAUUUACUUACUUGUCUGGCUAUUUUGUGUGUUUCCCAUUAUUGAUGGUUUAGUGUGUUUCUUACUUAUGGGAAAACUGCCUAUUUUGUUGGUCCAAGCUAUGCCUAUUUUGGACAUGUGGUUUCUUAGUUUAUACGUCAGGUACUGUAGAGUGAUGUGAUAUCACCUUUUUGUGGUAGUAGAACUGUGGAGCUCUGAUUACCUUACUUGCUUUAUUAUUUAUACUUUUGCAUACUCUUAAAUGCUCACUAAGAUUUUCCCCUUUAUUUCUAUGGGGUUUUUUUUGUAAUAGGCCAAACCACUACUGAAGUUUUGAUUUUUUUCCCCCAAGUCUUUUGCAUUGCCGUUACUCUCAGGGGAGAUAAUCACAGUUCCAAAGGUACCGGCUCUAAUAUCCCUCCUUGGCUGUUUGACUAUGUGCUUUAUUGGUGCCAUUGAAUUUUUUUUCCCAUCAGCAGUUGUUUGUUUUUAGCUUGCAGUGUGUUUUUUUUGUUAAAGUUGUUUGAAAAAAUUAGUACCAAGUGAAAAUGUCUUUCCAACUUUAACACUUUUCAUGUUUAUAAAAAAAGUCUUUAUCACUAAUUGAGCACGUGUAGAUGACACACUAAACUUUCCUUUUACAAUAGUAGAGUUAGACACAUAGUGUUUUGAUUAACUUACUGUCUAGAUGUUGAUGGUUUAAUGCGUUUCUUUCCUUUGGGAAUUCAUUUUGGCCGUGCGUUUUUCCAAUUUGUUCGCAUUGACAAGCUUACUGUACAAUGAUGCUUAUCACCUCUUUUGCGCUGUUAGAAUUCUGGAGCUCUGAUUACCUUAGUUACUUAUCUAAUUAUCUAUGCUUUAGCCCUAUUCUUAAAUGCUCACUAGAAAUUUCCCCUCUGUAUUUACAGGUUCUUUUUCUAAUAUACCAUCCCUGAUUGUUGAAGCUGGAUCUUUCCCAUUUCUGUUAUGCUCAGAGGCACACAAUCACGGUUCCGAAGGUACUAGCUUUAAGAUCAUUCCUUGGUUGUUUGACUCUGUGCUUUAUUGGUGCUGUUCAUUUUGUCUUUUGGCGUGAGCAGUUGUUUCUUUUUAGCUUGCAAUGAUCCUUUUGUUAGUGUUGUUAGAAAAAUAUUAGUACCGAAUAAAAAUGUCAUUUCAACCUCAAUCACUCUUCAUGUUUAUGAAAAAAAAAGCAUUUCCAUAACUAAUUUAGCAUGUUUAAACCCACUAAACCUUUUCUUUUGUGGUACUAAAGUUACAUGUGGUGUUUUGAUUAACUAUCUUGUCUAACUAUUGAUGGUUUAGUGCCUUCCUUUCCUAUCCUAAGGUCUUGUUUGGAUACUAGUGGAUUGAAGUGGAAUGAGAGGGAUCAGAGAGGAAAUUAAUUCAUUUUGGAUUCAAUCCCCUUCGUUCUCUUCCAAUCCUCUUCUAUCCAAACAAACCCUAAGAGAACUGCCCUUUUUGUCAAUCCAAGUUAUACCUAUUUUAAACGCGUGGGCCUUUCAUUCGUCGGAUGAGUUAUGGUAGAGGGAUGCCUAUUUCCUCUUUUGCGGCGGUAGAAUCAUGGGGAUUGAUUACCUUAGUUGUAAUUUAGCACAACUCUUAAAUGCUCACUAUAUUUGUCCCUUCAUUAUUAUACAGGUUCUCUUUGUGAUAGAGCAUCCUUUUGAAGAUUGAUCAAGUUCUGAUUGCUGAAGUUGAAUCUUCUACAUUGUUGUUACCGCUCGGGGGCAAGCAAUCAUGGCUCCAAAGGUACGGAGUUUGAGAUCCUUCCUCGGCAGUUUGAGUGUAGCGCUUUAUUUUUUCUGGUGAUCUUUUUUUUCCGUCAGCAGUUGUUUGUUUUAAGCUUGCAAGUAGUGGUUCUUUGUUAGUGCCUUUUUUUUCUUAUGGGAAAAUGCUAUCUUUUGUUAUUCAAAAAUAUUAGUACCAAAUGAAAAGGUCUUCCCAACCUCAAUUGCUUUGCGCCUGAGCCACCCGUCCCAAGCUGGAUGAAAUCAGAGCCGUUCAUUCUCUCUGUCAUGCAAAUGGACUUGAUGGCCCACAGCGCCAUGCUGCCAGUCGCCGCCUCAGCCCCCUUGAUGGCCCCCCCAGCCCGCCGUCCUUGCGCGACCGCCUCGUCUCGCCGCAUCACUGCCUCCCCGCCUUCAUCUUCAUGUGUCCUCCCGGUGGUGUCAAGGUGAAGUUGGGGGUGGAGAUGGAGCGGAAGCGCGGGCUUUCGUCUGCGACGUCGCGGGCUGGGGCGCCAGGUGAGCCCAUCACGUCGCAAAUUUGGUCACGGUGACGGUGCGCUGCCACCAGUUCACCACUGUACCCAACACUUCACCUUAUUUACCCACCUUGCCCAUGAGUUUGGUUAUUAGGAAUCUACUACUGAGUAACUUAUUUUAUUUGCACAUACUAGUGAUUAUUUACGUGGCUUAUCAUUUGUAUCAUCUUUCUUGACACCAUUCUCACAUAAGCUAUUUGCGUACAUGUAAUUGUUUGAGUUCUUAUGCUGUUGCGACGCAUGGGUGACACAUGGGUAACUUCGUUUUUUAUCUUUUUUGGAAUUGUAGGUCCGGUAGAGAUUGCCGGACUUGUAUUAAUUAAUAGAGAAGAAAUGGAUAACUUCGUUAGCAAAAGGCCAAUUUUGCAGUUGUCUGGUCAAAGGUCAAGUAGAGUUUUUUUUUUCCUUGUAAAGUUGCAAAUGGUUGUUCAUCGCUAAUUUAGCAUGCAUGUGUAUUACCAAUGCACCAAAACUCCUAAAAGCAUGAUUCAUAUAGAUCCUGCAUAAGCACGAGGUGUUACAAAUCAAACUCUACCGGCUGAAGCAUUUACACAUAAUAGCUUUGCUGAGUUUGUAAGAAAGAUAAAAAGUUGUUUAACAAUUUACAACUAAAAAUACCUUUUGAUUUAUUAUUGAAUCUAAGCUAGAAGGUGCUCAUUCCAAGUUCUUUAUUUCAUCAUCUUGCCUGUGUUCUUCAUUGGUUGGAGGCGUUCAUACUAGUUCCAAACUCUGAUACUUGAGUAAUUACUUUGACGAUACCUGAACAUUAAUUUGAUAUCUUUUGUUUUAACAUCACCUUUCCUUUUUGCAGGAUAGCUUCAGCUUAUUCAUUAUAUUUGUCUGCUUCAUUGCUAGCUCUGCUUUCGCUGGAUCUUCUGAUAUUGAGAAUCUAUACGAUCUGAGGGAUGCAGUUGCUAAAUCAAAAGACUCCCUUUCGGACUGGUUUGGUACAGAAACAUGUCCAUGCAACUGGAGGGGUAUAACUUGUGAGGGAGAUACUGUUGUGGCCAUAAACUUGUCAUCUGUGCGACUGCAUAUCCCUUUUCCGUUAUGCAUCACGGCAUUCCGGUCACUUGGUAUGCUCAACUUAAGUGGGUGUGAUUUAUCUGGUCAGAUUCCAGAAGCAUUGGGAAAUUUGCAGCAACUCCAGUACCUGGACCUGAGCAGUAACCAGCUUGCUGGGCCCAUACCUUUCUCAUUAUAUGAUUUGAAGACGCUGAAAGAAAUAGUGCUUGACAGAAACAGCGUGUCUGGACAACUGAGCCCUGCCAUUGGCCAGCUUCAGAACCUCACUAAGUUAUCGAUAUCGAGGAACAACAUCUCUGGAGAACUUCCUCCAGAGCUGGGCAGUCUGAAGAACCUAGAGGUCCUCGACCUUCAGCUGAACAGAUUCAAUGGAUCGAUACCGGAAGCUUUUGGAAACCUAACUCGGCUCUUCUACCUUGAUGCAAGCCGAAAUAAGCUCACUGGUUCAAUAUUUCCUGGAAUAAGCGCAUUGCUGAACCUGCUGACAAUUGAUUUCUCUUCAAAUAGUUUGGUGGGGCCAAUCCCUAAUGAGAUUACUCAUCUGAAAAUGCUGGAGCGUUUAGCUUUGGGGUUCAACCAUUUCACUGGAGGGAUUCCAAAAGAGAUCGGUAACAUGAAGCACCUAAAAGAACUCUCUCUCACUGAAUGCAGCUUAUCAGGCACCAUCCCUUGGUCAAUUGGUGGUCUUGGAAGCUUAGUGGAACUUGACAUAUCAGGCAAUGACUUUAACUCAGAACUCCCAGCGUCUGUUGGUGAUUUGGGCAAUAUGACUAUCCUGAAUGCAAGGAAGGCAAAGCUCGUAGGGCGUAUACCAAAACAGCUUGGCAACUGCAAGAAGCUUACUCUUCUACGUCUGUCUUUUAAUUCCUUCACUGGCAGUAUACCUGAAGAACUUGCAGGUUUAAAAAAUAUUGCCCAUUUUGAAGUGGAAGACAACCAACUGUCAGGUACUAUUAGUGAUUGGAUUAAAAAAUGGGCAAAUGUUGUUUCUGUAAACCUUGGAAAUAACAAGUUCUAUGGUUUGGUACCACCUACCAUAUGUCAAGCCAAGUUGCUGCAGUCACUCGACCUGCAUUGUAACGAUCUGACUGGGAGUAUCAAGGAGACAUUCGAGGGCUGCAAAAACCUGGUUCAUCUGGAUUUGCAAGGUAACCAUUUCCAUGGUGGGAUACCUGAAUACUUGGCUAAGCUACCGCUCACGAUACUGGAUUUGUCCUACAACAAUUUCACAGGAGAGCUACCUGGCAAGUUGUUUGAGUCAUCAACCUUUUUGGAACUCAGUCUCGACAACAAUAACCUUACUGGCCAUAUACCUGAGAGCAUUGGCAAGCUCCACAGCUUGCAGAGGUUGCGGAUGGGCAGUAACCACUUGGAAGGACCUAUCCCACUGGCAGUCGGCGCUCUAGAGAAUUUGACAGAAAUAUCUCUUGAUGGGAAUAGACUAUCUGGGAGCAUCCCGCAAGAGCUCUUCAACUGCAGAAACCUAGUCAAGCUAAACCUGAGCUCUAAUAGUCUGAUGGGACCCAUCCCGAGGUCCAUAUCUCAGUUGACUUCAGUCACUGGCUUGGUUUUGUCUCACAACCAGCUCUCUGGUUCCAUUCCUGCUGAGAUAUGUGGGGGUUUCACGAACCCAACUCAUCCUGAAUCAGAGUAUGUUCAACAUCACGGCUUUCUUGAUCUGUCAUAUAACCUGUUGAGUGGUCGUAUCCCCCCCGCGAUCAAGAAUUGUGUUAUUCUGGAGGAGCUACUCCUGCAAGGUAACUUGCUGAAUGGAUCUAUUCCUGCAGAGGUUGCUGAGCUGAAGAAUAUUACGAAGAUUGAUCUCUCUUUUAAUGCAUUAGUUGGGCCUAUGCUUCCUUGGUCUGCGCCAUUGCUCAAGCUGCAAGGCCUUUUUCUCUCUAAUAACCACCUAAGUGGCAAUAUUCCUGCUGAGAUAGGCCGCAUUCUUCCCAACAUUGCAGUUCUAAACUUGUCCGGUAAUGCAUUUAUGGCUACUCUGCCCCAAUCUCUACUAUGCAGCAAGACUCUGAACCGUCUAGAUGUCAGUAACAAUAACCUCUCUGGUAAAAUCCCGCUAUCUUGUACUGGCUAUGGAGAAUGGUCGAGCUCACUGAUCUUCUUCAAUGCAAGCAGUAACCAUUUGUCAGGGAGCCUAGAUGAGUCUAUCUCAAAGUUCAGACAACUGUCUUAUCUUGAUAUCCACAACAAUAGCCUCACCGGAAGCUUGCCAUCAGCAUUGUUCAAUCUUAGUUUUUGGGGCUAUCUUGAUCUCUCAAAGAAUGAUUUCAGUGGUGCCAUUCCUUGUGGUAUAUGCAAUAUAUCAAACAACGGAUUUGUCAAUAUCUCUGGCAACAAUUUUGGCAUGCAUAGCUUAUCAGAUUGUCCUGCAUCAGGCAUUUGUGCUGCAGAUAGUAUCAAUCGUAGGGGCAGCCAUACCCCUCAUGUAAUUCUAACAGUAGUGGCCAUUUGUGUUGCUGUCACCGUCGUCAUUGUGGUUCUUCUGGUAUUUUUUCUGAGAUGGAAGCUGUUGAGGAACAACAGGUCACUGCCUCUUGUCCCUACCACUGCCAGUCAAUCCAGUGCUACAACUGAGCCAAGCUCAAUGGAACCUCCGAGCAUCAAUCUCGCUACAUUUGAGCAUGCACUGCUGAGGUUCACCCUAGAGGAUAUCCUGAAAGCUACCAAUAAUUUCAGUAAUGUGCACAUCAUAGGCCAAGGUGGCUUUGGGACUGUCUACAAGGCAGCGCUGCCUGAAGGCCGGAGAGUCGCGAUAAAGAGGCUUUACGGUAGCCACCAGUUCCUCGGUGACCGCCAAUUCCUUGCCGAGAUGGAGACCAUCGGAAAGGUGAAGCAUCGUAACCUUGUUCCCUUACUUGGCUACUGCGCUCGUGGUGAUGAGCGUUUCCUCAUCUAUGAACACAUGAGUCACGGGAGCCUUGAAACGUGGCUGAGGGACCGAGCAAAUGCUCCUAAAGCAAUUGGAUGGCCUGACCGUCUCAGGAUCUGCAUCGGUUCUGCCCACGGGCUCAUGUUCCUCCACCAUGGCUUCGUGCCCCGUAUCAUCCAUCGGGACAUGAAGUCGAGCAACAUCCUGCUGGACGAGAACAUGGAGCCCAGGAUCUCAGACUUUGGCCUCGCAAGGAUAAUCAGCGCGUAUGAUACUCAUGUCAGCACCAACGUUGCCGGCACGCUUGGCUACAUUCCCCCAGAGUACGCGAUGACCAUGAAAUGCACGGCCAAGGGGGAUGUCUUCAGCUUCGGCGUCGUCAUGCUGGAGGUGCUCACCGGGCGGCCACCUACAGGGCAAGAGGUGGAAGAAGGGGGUGGGAACAUUAUUGACUGGGUGCGGUGGAUGAUCGCGCAGGGUCGGGAGGGUGAGCUGUUUGAUCCUUCCUUACCAGUCUCAGGUCUGUGGCGGGAACAGAUGGUGCGUGUGCUUGCCAUCGCUCUGGACUGCACCGCCGACGAGCCACGGAAUAGGCCGACCAUGCCGGAUGUGGUGAAGGGCCUCAAGAUUGCUGAGCUGAUGGAAAGUGAACCUCACGACCUCCCUGGACGUGUGGCGCAGCCAUGAUCUUGCCAUGCACUGCUGCCUACUGGUAUGUUUUUAUUUGUUUAUUUAUUUACUAAGAGCUUCAUAGAAAUUAGCAGUACUAAACUCAUGCUACUUCUGCCGGAUCCAUCAGCUCUUCUGUCCUUUAUGUGGUCUUAAAAUGCUAACAUAUAACAAAAGUUUAAGUAUAUAAACCUGGAUAAAUGCAGCCUCUGCAGCAAGUUCCAAAAUAGCCAAUUGCAUUAGCUGGGUUCUUUUGGGUGUACAAGUGCUAGAAUACUGCAUUUUCAUACAGGUUUAGUGCUCAUACUGUAACCUAGACCAGCUUGGACAGCAGUACUGAUCAUGUGACUUCGCAUUGGCAGCCUGUACUUCCUGGAGAUCAACCUACCAAAGGAGAUGAGCUUGGAGCGUAUAACGACACCCCUACAACUAUUUUUCAACUUCACAGCAGCAUCUGAAGUGGGCAACGACUCGUCAGUCUGUCAGGCAAUUGGGCGUGCAUGUGUUAGGGCAAAGAGAAUAAUAAGGCGCCAAACCGAAAUAAAAACUUUGGCCUAAGAUUGGUGCACUAGCCAUGUAAUGUUUAUGCUGUUGUAGUGUUGUACUCCUGGUCCGCGAUGAACAUCAACUUGUCGCCGGGUAAUAAAUUUUAACUGGAACCAUGACAUCCUGAUCGCGGUAUUAUUAUUUUGUUUCGCCUGCCUGGCUGUGCAGCCAAACUGCUGCCAGUGAUUUCUAAAGAAUUUUGUAGGAAUCUGUACUAGUUCUAGUGAAAUUCUGAUGCGAUCCAAAGUAUGCGCCAAAAUUUGAACUCUCUAUCAUUAAGCGACACGACUAAAAUUUAACACUCUUGGCAGUCCCUACAGCCAUGGAGAGCCGUGGAUUACUGUUAAACAGAAGUUUCAUUUUACUCUGAAUCGCAUCAUCUCUCACCGUGUUUGCUAGAAACGUGUUCAGGUAAUAACAGAUCAGAAAGACUUUGUUGCUUGGCAGUUGGCACUAUGAUGAAGAGAGUGGAAUUUUCACUAUUAAAAAUACGUACAAAAUUGGACGUAUGUGGUCUAUGGAUUACAAGUUCAGCACACACAUGUCGAUUUUUGAAUUGCACGUCUUUGGAGGGCAGUUAGAAAAAGAAAAUAGCGCUGCAUAUUCCAAUCACGAGUAGUACUGAGGGCUCCGCAGUGCAAAUUGCUUCGAGAAACAUUUUUACUUCAGCUUUUUUUGGAAACGUUUUCUUAGUGAAUUCGCGAGAUCGUUGAUGGUGUCCACCACCAGAGAAGGUUCAAGGUUGCACAACACUUAUAGGCUUAGUGCAGGAGAGCACAAUCGCGUGGCACAUGGGCUGGCACAACUCACUAGGCAUAUAACAAACAUUGUUGUGGCAUUUUCAAGCGCUUCUAGGUGUGGAGCUGGAAUUUUUUCUUAGUACUCCCUCCGUUUUUAUUUAUAAGGCACACACGUAUAUCAGGAUUUAAAUUUUGCAAUCUUUGACCAAUAAUUUGACUAUUAAUUUUUUAUUUUUAUAAUGUAAACUUUAUAUGGUUGGAUUCGUAAUCAAAUAUACUCUACAAUGAUUAUAAGUUUAUAACCAUAAACAAUAUACUAUAAGAUAAAUAAAUGGUCAAAUUGUUAUUUGGAAUACCGUGCUAAAUUAUACCAUACCUUGUAAACAUAGAUGGAGGGAGUAAUAUAUAACGUUUUAUUUUUCCUUUGAAAACUAGGACCGAGAAAAUGUCCACGCUCAUGUCAUGGGGUCUUUAAAUGGGAAAAAAUAAUUUAAUUUCUUUUUUAGACAGAAAAAGGCAAAUAGUUUGCUUUUACUCGCUCGCAACAAGAAAUGUUCUUUGUCCUGUAUAUGGGUAUAUGACGAUUACUGAAUUCAAUAGAGUAAUAGCUGUUUAAUGUUGUAAGGUAUAGUGAAAUGAAUGUCCUACUAAAAUGCAUAUUUUCACUAUACAGGAAUGCAAAAAUAUCUCCACACACCCAAACUGCGAGAACAGUAAUUUUUCUUCCAAAUAAUGAAAAAUGUGCGAAAAAGAUAAAAGGAUGAAAGUUACUAUUAGAAAACAUAAAUGUGCAUUCAAAAUGUGAAAAUUAGUCCAUCCACAUAUGACUUUAGAAAAAUCAUAACUAUUUCAUGUGAUCUCAAAUGGAUAUGAUCUUUAUAGUUGUAGCUCUCAAUGCAAUCUACAACUUUGUAGUUGAUACGUUUUCAAUUUCAAAACUGUAUUUUUUAGUCUGAAAGGCAGCUGUAAAGUUUUGACAUGCGUUAAUUCUCGGAUCUUUUUAGAUCGGAAACUAGUCAUGAACUAUAUAGCUUCCUUUUGGCCACUAAAAUAGUGCCAAAUAAAAGAUUACUAACAAUAAAGUUGUAGAUUGCAUCAAAAGCUAAAAUUUACAUAUAAAGCUUCAUUGGAGACUCGGGGAGCAUGUGGUCGACUUAUGAUUUGUUUUCAAAAGUCACCCGUUGAUGGACUAAUUUUUGCACUCCUAAAUACGCGAACAUAGUUUUCAAUAGUAACUUUCCCUCCUUUAAUAUUUUUACGCAACAAGUAUUUUGGGUUCCCUAUUUGCAAGAGCGAAAUUAUCCAUUUUCUUUUCAGAAGAAUGUAAAAUAUUUUUUUACCUUUCAAAGAUGAUAGCAUAAUAUUUAAUUAUGUAAUUUGUUCAUUCUUGCGUUAUUCCUAUAAUAUCCAUAUUGAUUCAUUACAAAACUAAUUUUUUAGGGGAUUUUCAAUAGGGGCAAAUGGGUAAUGCAGAAGAACUGAAGCCAUGGCAGGCAAUGAAUGUGGUACCGUCUAGCAAAUUAAAGUUCAGGAUUCUCCAAGAAAGGAUUUUGCUUCGAUUUCUCCCGGAAACGUUUUGUUGGUGAAUUCGCGAGAUCCCGGAUGGUGUCCAUCACCAGGGAAGGUUCAAGGUUGCUACAACGCUUCACGUUUAGUGUUGAAUAGCGUGUAAAUCAUGUGACGCGUAGGUUGGCACGACUCGCUAGGCGUAACAUACAUUGUUGUGUGGCAUUUUCAAGCGCCUCUAUGUGUGGAGCAAAUUAACAUGAUUUUUUCUUAGUAAUACAUAAAGCUCUAUUUUCCUUUAGAAAAACUAAUACUAUAGCAAGUUUGUACAUUCCUGGCAUCUUAAGAAAAGGCAAAGAGUUUGCUCAAUGUCAUCCGCAAAAUUUUUUUUUGCAGCAUCUUCUAUAUAGAAGCCCAUGACAACGACUGAAUUCUAUAGAGUAGGAGGUGUUUACUGCUGUAAGGUGAACCAAAAUGAAAAUCCUGCUAAAAAAUGGAUGGUUUAUCAUGAACCAAAAUGAAAAUCCUGCUAAAAAAAUAGAUGGUUUAUCAAAGCUACAAUAAAGAGGAAAUCACCCUAGCAGGUGAACGGCGUGGCACCAUCACGAGAAUAAGCAUGAACCAUGCUGAUAAAUACCUACCGGAACAGGGAGCCAGGGCACUCAUGUCUUCAUUCCUGCGCAUUCUGCUCCCUCUCUCGCUCGCCGCAUCGCCGACGCGAGACAGAGACUGAGGCUGGCCGAGGUAGCGAGCGAGAUCAUCGGCGUCCCUCCGCUCACUCCAUCUCGUGGUAUUGCAACACACUUCCCUUCUUGCAUAUGUAGUUGUUGUGCCUGCGUUGUUCACUUGUUGUGGCGGAGUCUGUUCGCUUGUUGCGCAUAGUCCGUUCUUGUAGAUUUGAUCCCUGUAGACGGGUAGUGUUUAGUCGUUGGGUUGGAAUAGGCAAUCGAUGAAAGGCUGGGCAUAUUGAUAGACCAGAUCAAACGUGGUGCGACCGCGCUCUACAUCGAACGUAGAGAUCUAUCUGAGGUGUUGACCGUCAUAUGGGAUUUCACAAUUUAGAUCUGUUUACUGAUGUUCUCGUUCUCCUUAGAUUUUACUACCGCACGAAGUUCACGUGGCCUUUUUCUAUCUUGUGAUUCUCUACUUAAUUAUAUGUUUCUUUUUUUUCUCCUAAAUUGUUAUCUUUUUGUAGGCUCUAGUUCAUUUGUAUUGCAAUUUCGGUCAUCCUUAUUUCAUUUUGAGAUAAAAGAGUUGUGGACCUUUAAUUAUCUUACAUAUCUCGUUAUCAUUGGUGUAAAGCUUGUCGCAUUUGUGUAUGUGUGUUGUUCACUUAUUGUGUGUAGUCCGUUCACUUAUUGUGUCUAGUCAUUUUCUUCUUGUGCGUGGUCCGUUCACUUGCUGUGUGUAGUCCAUUUGCUGGUUGUGUGCAGUCUGUUGGGUCAUAUGUGCAGUUGGUGGAAGGUUAGGUAUAUAGUGGAAGGAUAGAAUAUGGCAUGACCAUGAUCUACAGUAUGAAAGCUUAACAAAACUUUGAUGGUUAGAUGGUAGCUACUAGAAAAGCUGAGUUGCCUCAUUGUUGCGUAAUAGGUAUUUCACAAUUUAGAUCUCCAUUUCUCCUUGGAGUUUAUUUCUACACAAAGUUCAUGAGGCUAUUUUUUGGCUUGAGAUCCUAUGCUUAUAUGUUACUUUUUUUCCUAAAAAACUACUAUUUUUUGUCCAUCCUAGUCCCACCUUCAUUUUGUACAAGACGAUUUUUCUAUUUAUUUGUAUUGCAACGAGUUAUCUUUCGAUCUUGCUUGUUGCCUUUUCUGAGACGAUAGAAUUGUGAAAGCCGUGGAGCUUUGAUUACCUUUCUUAUCUUGUUGCUAGUGGUAUAACCCUCAUCGUGGUUGUGCAUGUGUUUUGCUCACUUCUUGUGCGUAGUCAAUUUGCUUGUUGUGUGUAAUUCAUUCUUAGAGCAUUAGUCCAUGUGGACGUGUACUCGUGUAGUGUACAAGCAUUGGGUUGGGAUAGGCAAUCGAUGGAAGGCUUAUCAAUGGAUGCAAUAGAUCAAACUGAUCUGCAUUAUGAAACUUUAAUCAAACUCUGUCAGUCAGUAGAGGUCAUACGUAUCAGCUCCCUUUUAGAACCGUCAAGGGAUUUCACGAUCUAGAUCUGUCUUCAUGAUGUUUUCCUUCUCGGUAUUUACUCUUAUGCGAAGUUCAUGAGACUACCAUUUUGCUUUGCGAUCCCAACUUAUAUGUUGAUUUUUCCCAGAAUUGCAUAUUGAGAUGGUAGAAUUGCAUUGUCUUUAUUACCCUACAUGUAUAGUUAUUGGCGGUGCAACACUCUUAAAUGCUUACUCUCUUCUUCUUUUUUUUUGUUUUUUACAGGGUCUAUUUCUGGCAGACACGCUCCGAUUGCAUUGCUGAAGCAGAGUCUUUGGAAUUCCUACUUCGAGCUCGGAAUCAUGGCUCCAAAGGUAGUGUCUAAGAUGCCUUUGCUGUUUGACCACUCAAUUACUCGUUCCAUGGUGUAUUUCAAUUUCCAUGUAUUUUCCCCCAUCAAGUGUUUUUUUGUUGCGGUUGUACAUGCCUUGCUCGUUAUGAUCGACUGAUCGUGCAGGGGGGCAUCGUACAUUACAUUUUUUUUUUGAAACGGUACGUUACUUGUUAGCGUUCAAACGUAUACUAUCAAAGAUACCAAAGGAAAUCCACGUCAGCCUUGCAACCCCACUUGCUUGUCAUCUUUACAUCCGAGCCAUCCGUGGCAACCUAGAUGAAAUCAAGGCCGUUCAUCCCUAUGUUACCCAAUAGACACGGCCACCCGGCAGGGGAAAACACUAGCGGCGCCGGGCGCCGGCACGGCAGCGCACAACCCGGCGGUCGGCGGAUCCCGGUAGGUGGCGCGCCGACGCUGGAGGCCUGAAGGCCGGACCGGCAGCGGCGCCUGGAGGCUGGACGCGCGGCCGGCGUGCUUUGCCGGUGCGCCGUGCAGCCGGAUGCGGGGUGCCCGGCGAGGAGGCGAGCACGCAGGCGCCGAUGUGAGCGUGUGGGAGAUGUGGCGCGGCAGACUGCCGGUGCCCCAAUCCUCCUGAUUCCCCAAUCCGGCAUUGAAGCAAGUCGGUCUGUCAGUUCUGUGCUCCUUUUCCAAUCCGUCAGUCCCUCAGUUGAACAAAUUGAAUUCGUCAUUCAUGGGUUACUUAUGAUACAAUCUGUAGAUUUCUAGUAGAAUUACUCAAUCGGGAGGAAGACAUUGAAAUUCUUUUAUUCUCCCUCUCCUAUGCCUAUAAUUCAAGUUCAAUCUCAAUCUAAAACAAUAGUACAUCUGGAACUAGAAACAGUAGGAGAUGAACCAAAUCGGCACAGUUAGAUAUUCCUUUUAUACAGCUUCAAAGUUUUUAUCAAGUUUGUUGUACAAUUAGACUUGAAAUUGAAUUAUACUCUAAAUCAUGCAUUUUAUGCUUCAGUACUGUUAAAUCAUGCAUUUUUUUUCGUUUCAAAAAAAGUACCGUUCCAUAUCGUUAUGUGCUUGGUUUCGAUGGUUUUAGGCCCUUAUAAGUUGGCCCUAGGCGUGUGAACUCGCCACCUCCGCCACUGAUUACAAACCUAGUAGAUAUCUGGUUUAGCAUGAGUAUACCAAUACAGCAGCAUCUCUUUUCUUAGACACACGAUUAGUAUAAGCCCUGCACAAGCAUGAGCCAUUGCCAAAUAGAGACCCACUGGUUGAAGUACUUGUAAUAGGAACUUUUCUCAGUUUGUAAGGAAACUGAAAAAUAAGCAGUGCAAUCAUUUUAUAAACCAGAACCAACUUUUAACUUAUUAUGUGCGAUGUACUCUCAUUUUAGAUUCAUUCUUUUAGCAUUUUACGGUCCUUCAUUGGUUGAAGGUGUUGGUAUUGUUUAUAACUUUGUUACCUGCACAUUUAUAACUUUUAUUUUAACUUUGCCUUUCAUUUUUGCAGGAUGGAAUCAGCUUAUUGGUCCUAUUUGUCUGCUUCAUCGCUAGCUCUGCAUUUGCUGAAUCUGAUAUAAACAAUCUAUAUGCUCUGAGGCAGGCAGUCGCUGAAUCAAAAGGCUUCCUUCAGGACUGGUUUAGUUCAGAAACUCAGCCAUGCAACUGGAGGGGUAUAACUUGUAAAGGAAGCGCUGUUGUGGCCAUAGAAUUGUCAUCUGUGCCACUCCGUGUCCCUUUUCCGUUAUGCAUCACAGCAUUCCGGUCACUUGGUUGGCUCAACCUAAGUAGGUGUGAUUUAUCUGGUAUGAUUCCAGAAGCCUUGGGAGAUUUGCAGAAUCUCCAGUACCUGGACUUGAGCAAUAACCAACUUACUGGGCCCAUGCCUUUCUCGUUAUAUGAUUUGAAGAUGCUAAAAGAAAUAGUGCUAGACAGAAACAAGUUGUCUGGACAAUUGAGCCCUGCCAUUGCUCAGCUUCAGAACCUCACUAAGUUAUUGAUAUCCAAGAACAACAUCUCUGGAGUACUUCCUCCGGAGCUGGGCAGUCUGAAGAACCUAGAGGUCCUGGGCUUUCACCAGAACAGAUUUGAUGGAUCAAUACCAGAAGCUUUUGGCAACCUAACUCGGCUCUUCUACCUUGAUGCAAGCAGAAAUAAGCUCACUGGUUCAAUAUUUCCUGGAAUAAGCGCAUUGCUGAACCUGCUGACACUUGAUUUCUCUUCAAAUAGUUUGGUGGGGCCAAUACCUAAUGAGAUUACUCAUCUGAAAAUGCUGGAGCGUUUAGCUUUGGGGUUCAAUCAUUUCACUGGAGGGAUUCCAAAAGAGAUCGGUAACAUGAAGCACCUAAAAGAACUCUCUCUCACUGAAUGCAGCUUAUCAGGCACCAUCCCUUGGUCAAUUGGUGGUCUUAGAAGCUUAGUGGAACUUGACAUAUCAGGCAAUGACUUUAACUCAGAACUCCCAGCAUCUGUUGGUGAUUUGGGCAAUAUGACUAUCCUGAAUGCAAGGAAGGCAAAGCUCGUAGGGCGUAUACCAAAAGAGCUUGGCAGCUGCAAGAAGCUUACUCUUCUACGUCUGUCUUUUAAUUCCUUCACUGGCAGUAUACCUGAAGAACUUGCAGGUUUAAAAAAUAUUGCCCAUUUUGAAGUGGAAGACAACCAACUGUCAGGUCCUAUUAGUGAUUGGAUUAAAAAAUGGGCAAAUGUUGUUUUUGUAAACCUUGGAAAUAACAAGUUCUAUGGUUUGGUACCACCUACCAUAUGUCAAGCCAAGUUGCUGCAGUCACUCGACCUGCAUUGUAACGAUCUGACUGGGAGUAUCAAGGAGACAUUCGAGGGCUGCAAAAACCUGGUUCAUCUGGAUUUGCAAGGUAACCAUUUCCAUGGUGGGAUACCUGAAUACUUGGCUAAGCUACCGCUCACGAUACUGGAUUUGUCCUACAACAAUUUCACUGGAGCGUUACCAAGCAAGUUGUUUGAGUCAUCAACCAUAUUGGAAAUGAACCUCGACAAUAAUAAGCUUACUGGCCAUAUCCCUGAGAGCAUUGGUAAGCUCCGCAGCUUGCAGAGGUUGCGGAUGGGCAGUAACUGCAUGGAAGGACCUAUCCCACAGGCAGUCGGCGAUCUGGGGAAUUUGACAGAAAUAUCUCUUGGUGGGAAUAGACUUUCUGGAAGCAUCCCACAAGAGCUCUUCAACUGCAGAAACCUAGUGAAGCUAAACCUGAGCUCUAACAAUCUGAUCGGACACAUCCCGAGAUCCAUAUCGCAAUUGACUUCGCUCACUGGCUUGGUUUUGUCUCACAACCAGCUCUCUGGUUCUAUUCCUGCUGAGAUUUGUGGGGGAUUCACGAACCCAACUCAUCCUGAAUCAGAGUAUGUUCAACAUCACGGCUUACUUGAUCUGUCAUAUAACCUGUUAAGUGGUCGUAUCCCACCCGCGAUCAAGAACUGUGUUAUUCUGGAGGAGCUACACCUGCAAGGUAACUUGCUGAAUGGAUCUAUUCCUGCCGAGCUUGGUGAGCUGAAGAAUCUUAGAACUGUUGAUCUCUCUUCUAAUGCAUUAGUUGGACCUAUGGUUCCUUGGUCUGCGCCAUUGCUGACCCUGCAAGGCCUUUUUCUGUCUAAUAAUCACCUAAAUGGCAAUAUUCCUGCUGAGAUAGGCCGCAUUCUUCCGAACAUUGCAGUUGUAAACUUGUCCAGCAAUGCAUUUAUGGCUACUCUACCCCAGUCCUUACUAUGCAGCAAGAGCCUGAACCGUCUGGAUGUCAGUAACAACAACCUCUCUGGUGAAAUCCCAUUAUCUUGUCCUUGGCAUGAAGAAUCCUUGAGCUCGCUGGUCUUCUUCAAUGCAAGCAGUAACCAUUUAUCAGGGAGCCUAGAUGGGUCUAUCUCAGAUUUCGGACAACUUUCUUCUCUUGAUAUCCACAACAACAGCCUCACCGGAAGCUUGCCCUUGGCACUGUCCAAUCUCAGUUAUUUGAACUAUCUUGAUCUCUCAAAGAAUGAUUUCAGUGGUUCCAACCCUUGUGGUAUCUGCAAUAUAGUUGCCAUCACAUUUGCCAACUUCUCUGGUAAUCGGAUUGGCAUGCAUAGCUUAUCAGAUUGUGCUGCGCCUGGCAUCUGUGCUCCUGAUAGUAUCAAGCAUAAGGAGGGUCAUCCAACUCACGUGAUUCUAAAAGCAGUGACCAUCUGUGCCGCCGUUAUAAUUGUCAUUAUUGUGGUGGUUUAUGUGUGGCGUAAGCUGUCAAUAAGAAGCAGGCCGAUGCAUUUUGAACCUACCAGUCAAGCCCAAAGUCUGCAAUUGAGCUCGCUACAAUUGAUCCCGCCUCAAGCGAUGCGCUCCUAGGAAAGGAUGAAGGCGCUGGGUAGAAUAAAAUUUAUGGCUAGAUUGAUGCACUAGCCUCGUCAAUUUGUCAUUUGUAUGCUGUUGUACUCCUGGUCCCUGCGUUUGAGCAUUUCCCCCCCUUUUUGCAAUGAACAACGAUUUGUCGUCGGUUUAUAAAAUCUAGCUUGAACCUCACAUCUUGAUGCAUGUUGCGCCUGCCUGAGCCUGUCGAGGCAGGCAGCCAAACCGUUCUUACAUUUUCUUUCGCCUUUUGUUAUGUUUCAGUAAGUGAUGCGUUUAAAAUCAUUACUGCCUUGCCUUGACUGUAUUUUUCACUACGGAUUGUUAACUUACGAUGCCAUUUGCCAUCUGCUUUGCUCUGGACCAAAGCGAAGUGCUGAAGCGUAGGCAGCGCUCCGCUCAGACAGGGCGCGCCCAGAUUUCCGAGCGAAACGAAUCCGCGAUUGGAUUUUCCGGGCCAAACCCCCCAGUCACUGACGUCCUGGCCCAAAGCGAGGACACGGAAGCCCCACCCGCCUCCACCGUCCCAGCGCCCGUCGCUGCCAAGUGGGCCCUUUCCUCCGUCCCCACAACAUUGAAAAAUCCGAGCAGAGGGGUAAAAAUGGGUAGCUCGGGUGAGCGGGGGCGCCGCUGGGUUCCUGUUCCUUCCUCGGGAAGAUUUCAAAUCCCCGCUGCCCUCCUCCACUCCUCUGCUCGGCCGCCUCCGAAAAAAAAUUCGCGCAUCCCGCCGGCGCGCUCUCCGAUUCGCGCCCCCCAUCUCCUUCCCUUCCCCAUCCGAUCGCUCGUGGCCUCCUGCGGUUAGAGCUGGGACUCGGGGCCUAGGGUUUGGAGCGGUUGGUUGGGCCAACCACAGAUGGCGGGGGCGCAGGGGGAGAGCAGUGGCGAGCGGCAGGGGAUGGCGGAGCGGCGGAUGCUGCGGUCGCGGUACCUCGCCAUGAAGAACCGCAUCAGCGGUAGGCGGCCUCUCCCUCCCUCUCUUGUCCGCGCCGGCUCGCACGGGCUUCCAUUUCUGGGUCGGGCUGGGUUGGGUUGAGGUGUGAUUUUGACUUUUGAGGGGGCUUUGUUUGCGCGCAGAUGAGCGGGAUGAGAUGGCCAGGGUGGAUUCGGACAAGUUCACGGCCAUCAUCUCGCAGGUGGAGUGCCUGCACGAGCUCGGUGAGGAUCGACUCCCUGUUGCUUGCGAACGAACUGCAUUUCUUUUCUUUUUUAUUCCAGAAAACAAGUGUUUUGAUUGGUUGAGAUUCAACUUUGAAGUGGCGUGAGACGAGAAGGUUUUGAUUGGAAUUGCUGCAUCCAACUUUUAUUUGGGUUUUGGAUUUAGGGAUGUGUUUUUCUAUCAUUUGAAUGGUGUGCUAAGAUUGCUGGUUACUGUAGAGUUGUUUGCUGGAGUGCUUGAAGCAGGUUUAGGAAUAAUCACUUCUGAUUUAAUAGCACACAAGUCGGGUACAAAUGGCUCCAAUUGAAGGGAGCUGCAUUAUUUGAACUCGAAUUUUGUCAUCAAGGAUAGGUUCAGUUACAGCUAGCCUGAAAUCUUUGAUAAAGUAGUUUACUUGGGACCAAGUUCUAGUCAGCUUAUGUAUAGUUUCACUCUAGAGCUUCCAAAGACUGUUCCCCGAUCAUGACUUGCUAUUGACAUUCACACUGAAUUUGAAAUGUUUGGAGGUUCUGAACUCAUCGCUCAGUUUGUUGUACUGAUGAAGGUCUUGCAUUAAUUUAUUCCUAGUCAUAUUUCAAUCUCUUGUUGACAUUUAUGUUGCAAAUUAUUAAGUGAACAUCAGGGUAUAGUAAUAACAGUUCAAUAGUAAUAUCAGUGAACUGUUUAUAAAAUCCAUAGAUGUGUUUAUAGACUUUGAUGCUUCUCUUAGGUGUGUAGCCUUGACAUUAGUAUAUUUUGAGAACAAGUUGUUAUCUUAAUGUUGUUGCCUUUAAUAGUUUGAUUUAUAAAUUUCUGGAAUACAUGUAACAUGGACUCACAUUACAUAUUAUAGGGACUGUGAAGUUUGCAUUAGUUUGUUCAUCCGUGCCAAUUGGUAAUGUUGAAUAUUUGCUUGCUCAAUACUUUGGUUUAUUACAUGGCUCAUUGCAUUCUGUGCUAAAAUUGAUUGUACCAUUUGCUUGUCACACCAAUUUGGUUAUUUAUUGUGAGAGCAAAUGCUUUAUUUUGCUAUGCCUUGCUGGUUGGCUAUUCAAAAUUUAAUCUGCACUAAAAUUCACAAUGAGUAUCCUUCCACACUGCAGUGCAGAGACCUAGGGAGCAAAUAGCUGAUGCAGAAGCUCUGCUUGACAUUGCCAGCACAUUGGUGACUUCGGUGAGGUCCCAGUCAAGUGAAGGAAUCACCCCUUCUGAUUUUAUAACAGCUUUGCUGAAGAAAUUUGGAGAGCAAGAGAGCCCAGAUGAUGAGGCCACCUCCUUGCGCUGGGGAGAUCUUGGACUUUCUGUUUCACAUGCCUUCAGGCCUGUGCCUGGAUGCUGCACCAUGUAUGCUCCUCUCUUUUUUGUAAGUUAUGUAUGCAUCCUCGGCUAGUCAGAUGACUUAAACUGUGCAUUCUCUUAAUGUUUCCAGGCUUGGACCCAUGAAUACAGAAGUAAAACAGCGAAAGGUUUCGACUGUUAGUAGAAAACGAACUGCACGGCCAACAGAAAACACUCGUCCUGAAGAGGUACCAACAUGCUUUUCAUGAUGUAAAUCAUACAUUCAAACAGUAGAAGUCAAGUGAACUCAUGGUUUCUUUUAGGUCUUCCUUUUGCCUUCGAUCUCAAUGCAAUAGGCCUUUCUUUCCUAUAACUUUGUUGUCAUCUAUAUGCACUAGGGUUGCUGACUGUUUCGGAGCUGACUUCCAGCCAUAUGAUUUUUUCCAAAAUGCAGCUUGCUGAUUCUUCAGAGGAAGUAAAGACAGACACUGACAGGAAUGUGCUGGUAAUAUUUGAUACCCUGAGGCGGAAGAAGAGUGCAAGGCUGGAAAACCUUGUUUUGAACAGGCUUUCAUUUGCUCAAACAGUUGAAAAUAUCUUUGCACUGUCUUUCUUAGUGAAAGAUGGUAGGGUGGAAAUAAAUAUAGACGAUAACGGGCAUCAUAUAGUACGUAAGUACUCAAUUCCUUUUGUGGUUAAGUUAUAUUCUGGUUAUUCUACUGCAGAUGUUUCUAAAUAAUAUUGUUGACCUCAAACAGGCCCAAGAAAUGCACCUGCUGCUAGUGACGUAGCCUCAGGAGAUGUCUCCUACAGCCAUUUUGUCUUUAGAUUUGAUUUCAAGGACUGGAAGGUAUAAUUUCCGAUCAUUAGAUUUGUAUUUAUUGGUAAACUUACAUAUAUUUUACCUAAAUAUUCAUUAUCCAACCUCAUGCCUGCUGCUAGUUUGGGAAGAUAAUUGUUGGAAAUCCAAUUGAAGGAUUAGCUUAACAUAUCGAACUACUCUCCCCUUUGAGUACCCCUGAUUUAGAUAUGUCACCUAGGAAAACCUCACAUUCACCUAUUCAGUUUGCCAUAUGUUUUUUUUUAAACUGCCACAUGUUGUCCAUAUAAGCAUGCUGCCUUUGCAAGAGAAAUUAGAGAAACAAAAAUGAAUAAAAUCAAAAUUCAUGGUGGGGAACAGUGACUGUAGUCUUAUUUGUAUAUAUUAACAAGUAAUCUAAUGUUACCUCUUCACUUAUCAUCCAUUUACAGCUUAUGAAAGAAUUAGUCUCAGAGGGUGAAGAACUGUUGCCUCACAGGACCUCCCAGGGUGCUACCUGCACUGAAGAGAAUGAUCAGCCAAAUCUGGAGGCAUGUGCGCAAAGAACGCCGAUCAGAAAACUCACCCGGAACCGAGGCUUGGUCUUGCAAGAACAGGUAGUCCAGGAAACACCCGAGGAGAACCAAACGUCCAAGCGCAAGCGCCUUUUCAGAGAUCAGGACUGACCUAGCAAUUGCUUGGCAUGAGCAUUGUACCCUAGAAAUUGCUUGGCAUGAGCGGUGUGGGCAGGCAGCCUGCCUUAUUUUGUAUGUACAAAUGUUAGGUUUGUAGGACGGUUGUGCCAUGCCAUGUUGUCGUAGCACAGCUCGUGCUUCUCUGAGAAGUAGAGGUGUAACUAAAUUUCAGUCGUUUCAACUUCCAUUGACAUCCUUCAACCAUAGAACGGUCUUUGUAGAUCAGACAUGACGCGUCGACGUUUAUGUAGAUGCAUCAGAGGCUGAUGAUGAUUCAUUCGAUGCUCGUUCUGUUAAAUUUUUAUUCGUUUAUUUACUGUACCCAUGCGAGAGCUAAUACAACCCCACAAACGGUUAAACAACUCGACAAAACAAAGUUACAACAGAAAAUACUGGCAGCGUUUAUGUUUAACCAUCGGAACUGUCCACCAUGAUUGUCAGAAACCCUGGAUACUACAGAGAUAAAGGCAAAAUAGCAGCAUUAACGCUUCGCAAAACAGGGCACAAUAGAACCUUCAAGAAGAAAGGGAUGGGUAGAAGAACCACCAGGCUCCCAAAACAGGUCACAAUAGAACGUUCAAGAAGAAAAACAGAAAACAGAUUCAGUAGCAUAGGCCUAAAGAAGUCAGCAAAUCCAUCAUCCAAGAUCAAGUUUUGAGUUACAUUGACUAAUCACUACAAAGUACUGACAAAGACAUGGAUCUCAAGCAGCAGCAGGCUUGCGCAGCUCAUUUUCACCAUGGGCAAAGUGGCAUCUGUCACCAAAAGUGCACGACCCUUUUGCAAAGUUCUCACACAUCUUGGUCUUGAAGUUGCUUCCUGAGCCUCCACGGUGAGGUCCUCCAGCUGGGUUCUUUGCUGGUGGAGGGGCACUGCCACUGAUGUUGACAAUCAGCUCCCCGACCAUAGCGCUAGCAUUCUUGAUCUGAUCAAAGGUGCCCUCAAGCUCGAUGUUUUUCAACUUGGUGUCUGAUUCAUGGUCCCGGAUGGCCAGCUUGGCCCCAGUGACUCGAGAUAUCUGCUUUGUGUUAACUCCACCCCUCCCAAUGAUGCGACCAGCAAGGGAUGCAUCAACACUGAUCUUGGCUGUGGCAGAAGCACCAAAGCUUGCUGGAGUGGCCAUGCCAGGGUUGACCAUAGGCGGAGGUGCAAAGUGACCAGUGGGUCCUGGUCCCAUGGGGAAGUGCGUAGAGCUGUCCAUCAACAUAGGCUUGCCAAGCUCCCUUUCACCGUGUGCGAAGUGGCAUUUGUCCCCCCAUUUGCAUCCAUCUGCAGUUUUGUACUUGUUGCACAAGCGAGUCUUCAUGGUGGGUGUAGGUGGCCCGUCCAUCAUCAUUCUUCCAGGAGGUGUAACUGCUGGGCCACCCAGGUUGGUUAUCUUUGAAACUGCCUGGUAGCCGCCAGGGAAGCAAUGGAGAAAAUGGCAGCCCUCGCCAAAGGGACAACCAGAGGUACUGCAAGAUGACAACAUUAUCUGGGUAAGUAACUGAAGUAGCUGAAUAAUAAAUAUAUGGUAACAAUUGAUGAUAGCAGCUGAGGAAAACAAAAGUAUAUGGCAUUUUAAAUGUGUGCUAAUAAAAAUAUAAUGUACCAGUAUGGAUGAACUUCAGAAAAAUCUGAAGAAAACUUAACAUGACUUAACAAAAUAGUGGAAACGGAUUAUCUGCCAUGUUCUGACAAAAGACAUUCAGAGUUUGCUACAUUUCAAAAGCUGGGCUUAAGAACAUAUUAUUGGUACCAUGUGUUCUAGAUCCCAAGCUUAAAAUUUGUAACUCCAUCACGGUUAAACGAUUACUAGAAUUUAAACAUCAUAAUAUAUGCAAUGAACAUUACUGUACAGCUACUGAUGUAAGUAAUAAUAAGUAUAAUUUCGAACCAUAAGGUGGUAGAAUUUGUCCUGCAGAUACCAAAUAUUUGGAUAAUUGGUGUAAGUUGCAAAGAUAUAGGUGGCGCAAUUUCAAGAUGGGAUUCAAUUGCAGUUCCCAAGUCAUGUGCUCAAACUUCUUCUCAAUUUGAGCAGAUGACGCAGCAUGACCACAGCAACUGAUUGUUCAUCUCAGAAAGAAUUAGAUGUCCUUAUACUGUUGUUGCGUCUUUCAAAGGUUCAAAGUGAUUUGCACAACCAUGUGCUUUCCAAUUUUACUCCAGUAGUGUUCUUAAGCUGGAUUAGGAGAACCUGUAUCACAAUAUUUCUUAACUGUUCUGUUAGCCAUAAGAGAUUCUUUCAACAAAAGCAAGUAAAUUUUAAUUGAAAUAAGCAGCUAUGCAGAAUAAAUGUUACCAGGUGGGAGUUCAUUUUAAGUUGGAUUAUAACCUGAAAAAUUUGGUGCAUGGCUUCGUUUUGCUUCCUACACCAGUUUGAAAUGACUCCGAUUCUGUUACAUCAAAUUAAUUUUGCUCGCCAAGUUAAUAUGUUGUUGAUUUACUAAUCUCAGUAUACAAGAAUGAACAUUAAUGAGGGCUUGCCUACAUCAGUACAGUGCAUUAAUUAAAACACAAAGUUUACUGACUUCAGUUUGUAUCUGCUACCCAGAGAUUCUUUCCAAGCCGUUGCCAAAUUAUUGAGUGGGUAGAGGACACAGCAAGCCAACAACUAAAAAAUUAUAAACCCCUGCAAUUCAAACAGAAGACCCGUACCCUAAAUGAUUCUAGGCCAAAAUGCAACAAAUAAGCCCAUGCCCCCACCCGAAUAAUGCAAAAUUGCCAACAUACGAAAACUUCCGCGCCGAGUUGACGAAACUUCGGGAACGAAGUGAUUCUCAUUUCACCAAACAACAACCCUAGAUCCCACCAGAUCACCGCACCGCGCAGCAUCCCACCGAAAAUCCCCAAACCCUAGCAUAGCAAACAUCUCAAAACACAACCAAUCCCCAAGACGCUCAGCCCUAAAAUGUUCAACCGCGUAGACGAUAAAACACGUCCCGAGAGGACGACGGUUUGCGGCCAGAGCGAGGGCGGGUUCCGCUCGACUCACCUCGCGCGCGCUUCCCGCCGGCGGAGGCCCCGUUGGCGCCGUCGGCCGUGCCCCUUUUGCGGACGUCUUCCAUGGAUGCUCCCGCUCUCGCGUCCCGCGAGUUCGGUUAGGGUUGGCAAGCCGCGGCGGCGCGGCGAGGAGCGCGUGGGGUCGUGGAGCCCGUGGGGAGUGGCCUCUGAAGUCUGAACAACGGCCACGGGACGGGGAGGCGUGCGGAAGAGAGUGAGCGAGUGCCAGCGGCGGGGGGAGAGAGGUCGAGGCGAGGAGAGAGGAAAGCACUGACCGACCGAUGGGCUCGGGCCCACGAAGGAGGGUGAUGUGCAUUCCCGCUUCUCAGCCCAAAUGAUGCGCAGGCCCACCUGUCUAUCUGGCCCCGGCGGCAUGCCUGGCCUCCCCUUUUCUUCUUCUUUUUUGAUGAAAAGCGCCUCCCUGUUCUUCUUGGGUAGCAAGACUUGACCUCCUCAUUCCGUUCAGAAUCCUAAUGGGCAGGUGGGAGAGAUUUUAGCUGCCAACCACGACGUCACGAGGACGCCGUUCUGUUUUGAAGUUUCUCUUUUUAUUAGAUGUGUUUAUUAUUAAAUAAGUAAACAAAUAGAAGAUGACCUGCCAGAAAAAUAUCCAAGUCAAACUGUUAAUUUGUCAUUAUUUUUUCAAAAGGAAAAGGGAACCCUGAAACGUCCUCACUUUUCUAUUCUCUUUUCAAAGAAAAAGUGUGAUGCCGUCUCGCUUUUGCGGUGGUACAGCGCAGUUUAGCCACCAAAUUCCAAAUCAUUGACCAAUAGAUUAUUCAACCAACCUUUCAAAACAAUCAGUACCAUGUGUCACAAUUCACAAGUCAUAAGCCGUCCACCUCACGAGUCCUGGGAGCUAAAAACCGAUGUCCCUUUCUUCAUUGCAGAGGCCAUAUGCCCAUAUGGAAGAGGCACACGUCGCAUCAUAAUAUUUGCCCUCUGGUUGUGUACCAUUCUUCACUUCGUAUAUUUCUAAACAGGUCCAGCCGUGCCUCCUGGAAGCUCGCUUCUAUUCGUCUAGAAAAUCCAUGUCAGAGUCAGGUGAAGGUGAUAGCCUUAUUGUGCAUGAAGAGUUGGAGACUACAAGUCGUACUUUGUGUUCUUUCUCCCCACUUUCGAGCUGUUGAAUUUGCCUUUCAUGAAUUGUUUGUUUCAUGCAAAUUUUCCCAUGGUCUCAACCAAAAUUCAUUGCAAACACAACAAAACUUGUCCCCCACCCCAACCUGGGCUGUUCAUCUGAGAAAAGGACGAUCCACGUUUCAUGCAGUUCUUAACCUUGCAGUGUCGCCCUUUUAGAAAAGGCACACCUUUUUUCCGCUGAAGAUUUUUUUUUCUUCAAAAGAAUCAUGCAAGCCUCCUACAUUCUUUUUUCAUUCUAAGUAAUUCCCUGGAUGCUCUCUUAACCUCGACAAUUAUAACAAAAAAAACAUCUUGGGAUAUGCCCCUUCAGUUUUUCUGAUUAACUUCAAUUUUUUUUGUAAAAUCUAUCUAAACCAAAUCAAAAAGAUAUUGAAGGGGCGGGUAUAUCAUUUCGGAUGGAACCCGAAGCCCCCGUAUAUAUUCGGCUCGCCCCUGACCCCUCAGCCCUCACCAACCGAGCCCGACGAGGCGACGACCACCCCCAUUCCUCCUCCCCCAACUUCUCGGCUCCCCACCUCCCUCGCCGCGGAACGCGCGGCCCGUCCCCGCCCGUGUUGAUCUCUUCAUUCCUUGGUAUUCCUUGGUAAGCAAGCCUACACAGAUUGCUAGUUUUAUUCGUUAUUAGAAACUCCCCUCCGCCGCGAGCCCUCGAAUCCAAUCCCAUCUCCAAUCUCCCCCUCGCUCUGUUGCGGAUUUGCUUGCUGCGUGGCGGAGUGGAGUAGUAAUUAUCAGUUUGUUUCCCCUAGUUUUUUUUCGUUGGGGUUCGUUUCGAUUCAACUGCGGUGGCCUGAUGUGAUGUGUCUGCGCAGGUGCGGUAGCCGAGCGCUCCGGCCAUGGCGUUCUUCCGGGGCCUCACCGCGGUCUCGAGGCUGCGAUCCCGCGUGGUGAGUAGUGGCGCGUGUGUAUUUGCGGGCUGAUUCACCGUUUUUUGGGUGCUUUCUGCUGAGAUUUUUGGUGUUGUUGCCGCCAGACGCAGGAGGCCACCACGCUGGGUGGUGUGAGAUGGGUGCAGAUGCAGAGCGCUUCCGAUCUCGUAAGACACUUCGUCCUCCUGUUGUGCCUUGUGAUGGAAUUUUGUGUAGUCUGGACAUGAUGCUGAUUGUGUUUCUGCAAAUGCAGGAUCUUAGGUCCCAAUUGCAGGAACUGAUUCCCGAACAACAGGUUUGUUACUCAAUAGACCUGUCUGUAAAUCUUGUAAAGCCAAAAAGUUCCUGGGGUAUCUGAUACCUUAUCUUCUGUUCUUUUAGCCAAAAGUGUCAAUUUCGAUCUCUUUUGUUCAGUUCAUGUAGUUCUUUGUGAGAUUUUGCUUAAUUCUGUGUCUAAUACAUUUUGUCAAACGUGUGGUGGAACAUGAAAUCAAUUUUCUUCUCUGAAAGUAGCAUCUAUUAUGCAUCAAUUCUAUUCCCGCUUCUGUCAGUGGCACUUAGUUUGUGUGCAGCUUUAUAUUUGCACCUAGCUGCGAUCAGAAAAAUUAGAAUUAGUUUAAGAGAAACCCACCUGGCAGCUGAUUUCUGUAAAAACUUGUCCUUAUGAAAUAUGAACACCUGUUCAUCUCGCCUUACUGUUCUCGAAUGUUAGGAGAAACCAUCACUUACUCUGCUGUAUUUGUUACAGGAUCGCUUAAAGAAGCUCAAGUCAGAGCAUGGAAAGGUCCAGCUUGGAAACAUAAAUGUGGACAUGGUAUGGAUAUAUCACUAUUCAAAUGUCUACGGAUACCUCUGGUUCCUUUCUAGAAUGUAUACUGACUUAUUAUGCGAAAUUCCUGAAUAAUGUUCUUGCAGGUCCUUGGUGGAAUGAGAGGGAUGAUUGGAAUGCUUUGGGAAACAUCACUACUUGACCCAGAGGAGGUAAUCUUUCAUUCAUCCACUUCAUAAUGCUAUGUUAGCAGUGUAUUAUCAGUUCAUGUCCAUUCUAUGUCAAAAUAUGAUCAAAGUUUCAGAAUUAAGUAGUGCACAAUGAUCUAUAGAAGAUGCACAUGGAAUAAAUUUUCUAAGAGUUUACUAUGGCGCAGGUUUACCAGAAUAUUUUAAGUUAGUUUCUUGUAUUUAUUAUAGUAUUGGAGCUGAUUUCGAUUUUACCAAAUCUGAGUGGCUGGACACACAAAUUCAUCUUUGUUGUUGGAUGCAACCUAGUUUCGGGCGGCGUUAACAUAUUUAAACAUCGAAGUGAAGCAAAGAAUCACAUCAUUCAUUGGCUAAUAACCACUUCUUUUCUAUCCAGGGCAUUCGUUUUAGGGGCCUCUCAAUUCCAGAGUGCCAGAAAGUGCUGCCGACGGCGGUUAAGGGUGGUGAGCCUUUGCCUGAGGGUCUCCUUUGGCUUCUUCUGACGGGAAAGGUAUAUCCCUGCCUAUAAAUCACUUGCUCCAUAAUAGUUUAAAAAUUGUUGCAAAUGUGUUCCUCCAAAACUAGGAAAUUCGUUGCUGAUUGAUUCAAUGGGACAAGUUUCUUGCUUAUCUUUGUAUUGUUAUUCCUGUAAUAUGUUUUCAGUUAUCCCCAAUACCGUAUUUCUCAGUUUUAAGCCUCUUGGUUUUUUGUUUUCAGGUUCCAACCAAAGAGCAAGUUGAUUCCCUUUCAAAGGAAUUGCUGGCCCGUUCAAGUGUCCCAGGUACUUUGAUCACACUGCUGGCUACUUUUGUUAUUGUUUUUCCCCUUGGAAAUUUGGUCAAAUUAAAUCCAGAAACUAUCUGAAUUGAUUGAUGCUAAUGUCCCACUUUUCUGCAAGUUCAAAGGUAGUCACAGAUUAAUAGCGAGAUCUGAACUCCAAAAAAAUCAAUAGAGAGGUCCAUAUGUUUCCGUUAGUACGAUCAUGUGUAGUUUAUGUGCUCUAUCUUGCCACUUUGCUCGCUAGCAGCUGAUAAUUGAUAUGGUUGCAGCACAUGUCUAUAAGGCAAUAGAUGCUCUCCCUGUAACUGCACAUCCUAUGACACAGUUUACCACUGGAGUAAUGGCUCUUCAGGUAAGUCCUGCCAUGUCUGACAUGCUGUUUCUUUUUUUCCCCCUCAGAAAGUCUUGUGGAAAAAAUUCACUAUUUGUGAUUUAUUUGCAGUUGUAUUUCUAAAACUGUUGCAAGUAGGAUUUAGAUUAAUUUCUCAUCGUAUCAUUCCUGGUAUUUGGAAUUACUUUAAGCCUUCAAAGUGUGACUCUUCCUGUUUUUACUCCGUUUCAGGUUGAGAGUGAAUUUCAAAAAGCUUAUGACAAAGGACUGCCAAAAACAAAGUAAGCCUGGGAUUUAUACUGCUAUCCAUUUUCUUAUUUUUUCAACAGUUGCUUUUCAUGGUUUUUACAAUUAUUAUAUUGAUAAUAGGUUCUGGGAGCCUACGUAUGAAGAUGUCCUAAACUUGAUUGCUCGGCUUCCGCCAGUGGCAUCUUAUGUUUACCGGAGGUAGCUUUUGUUCACAAAUGCUUGAUCUUUCAAUUCACUUACUGGAGAUGACAUCCAUGAAUGAUUAUUUUGUGAUGAAGUUAUAGACAUGAGCAAAUUUAGAAUUUGUAUCAAUUAUUUUGUUUCACUUGUCCUUUGAAGGAUUUUCAAGGACGGGAAAUCAAUAGAAGCUGAUAAUGCUCUGGAUUAUGCUGCAAAUUUCUCACACAUGCUUGGUUUUGACGAUCCCAAAAUGCUGGAGUUGAUGCGCCUCUAUAUAACAAUUCACACGUAAUUUUCCAUCCAUCCUUAUAUUUUUUUAUUUUAUGUUUCUGAAGAACUUGUUUUAAUUUUCCUCUCAUACUGUUAACUGGGUUCUUGCAGUGAUCAUGAAGGUGGGAAUGUCAGUGCACAUACUGGUCAUCUGGUAAUAUUUGUUCUCUGGUUGUGAUCUUGAUUUUCUAAACAAUGUUUCUUAACGUGCCAAGAUGAUGAAAACUGAUCACUGUGUGGUACCUUAUUUGGUAUCAUGGCCUUUUACUAUUUACUCCAUGGCAUUGGGUUGAAACAUCCUCUGAUCAUGCCGCUCAUCUAAUUGCAGGUUGGAAGUGCCCUGUCAGAUCCCUAUCUUUCUUUCGCAGCAGCUCUGAAUGGUUUAGCUGGGCCACUUCAUGGUCUGGCUAAUCAGGUAUGCACAGUUUGACACACCGGAUCUGCUCUGCAAUAUUUAUCUUGCCUUGUGCUUUCUUUUACUCGUGAUUGCAAAAAAGAUUUCUCUCAAUAGAUAAUCUCCCCCUGGCCCCACAGCCAUUCAUUGUACUAUUUCACUACAUUACUUGAUAAGUUGAUAUGUAAUGAACCUCCUUCACUGAAAGAAGAAACACAUUUUCCUGCCACUCUUAGUUUGAUGACUUGAUUUUAUAACGUUUAUAAACUUACCAUAUAUUGCAGGAAGUGCUUCUAUGGAUCAAAUCUGUAAUUGAGGAAACUGGGAGUGAUGUUACCACAGAUCAACUCAAAGACUAUGUCUGGAAGACACUAAAGAGUGGAAAGGUAGCAUGUCUCAGUGUUAUAUUAAUUCAAAAGAUGUUUACUUCAUGCUCAAAAACAGGUUCAUCAAAUGUUAUGAGAUUUGAAAUGCUGUGCAGUAGGUCUAAUAGAGUUGACUUGGAAUGUUUAUGCAAUGUUACGUGCACUGUUGUUUAUUUGGUUGAGCAUGAAGUUAUAGAAAUCAAAUUCCUAAUAGUUGGUUGCAUUCAAUCAUAGGUUGUUCCUGGCUUUGGUCAUGGAGUUCUGCGUAAGACAGACCCACGGUAUUCAUGUCAAAGGGAGUUUGCCUUGAAGCAUCUGCCUGAGGAUCCACUUUUCCAAUUGGUCAGUCUAGACCCUGAAUCUAAUUGCAUUUACUUUCUUGGGUUCAACACUCUAAAAUGUGAUGUUCUGUUACAGGUAUCCAAGUUGUAUGAAGUCGUGCCUCCUAUUCUCACUGAGCUGGGCAAGGUAAUGUGGUUGAUCAUGUUCUCCACUCUUGUUUUAACAUACUCUCAUGAACACCAUUCUUUGCUCAUGUAUUCUCAGGUCAAGAACCCAUGGCCGAAUGUUGAUGCACACAGUGGAGUUUUGCUGAACCACUUUGGAUUAUCUGAAGCACGGUAUGUUUAUCCUUGGCAUUUAGAUAUCAAUUUAAUCCUGACUUGUGACCUAUCAAAUCUAUGUAUGAGUACUCAUGUCCGGAACACCUUGUUUUAACCACGCAGGUAUUACACAGUCUUGUUUGGUGUCUCAAGGAGCAUGGGGAUAGGAUCUCAGGUCUGCUUUUGUACCCUCCACUCUUAGAUUCUUAUAUUCUGGUUCUUCUAUCUGCUAAUUGUGGUCACUUAUCUUUGAUAUAGCUCAUCUGGGACCGUGCCCUUGGCCUACCACUGGAGAGGCCGAAGAGUGUCACCAUGGAGUGGCUGGAAAACUACUGCAAGAACAAGGCUGCUUGAAGCUAAACAUAGGCUGAUGCUUUUUUACACACCGUCAUUUUUCCUGUUAAUAAAUUACAGUAGUCGUUUUCCUUUUGGCGGUCGAAUAACAAGAGCAAGAGGCUCUCAGACGGCAGAAUUUUGUAUCCUCCGUCACUCGUGACAUCCAUAUAGUUGAAUCUCUGCGGCACCACUGAGCAGACGAGAAUAGGACAUGUUCAUUAAUCUUUAUACAUGGCGAUGCACGCCAGUUCUUUUAACCUUUGCUCGUUCGAGUCUGUUUACAGUUAUUUGGGUUUUGGCAGCAUAAGCUGACAGUUCUUUCAUGAUAAAAGAGGAUAUUCUGAUGCCUGUCAUGCGUGGUGCGGCGUGUUCCAAAUUGUGAGUAGUGUAAUCGCUUUGUGGUUUGCUGAUUACUUCUCUGGUACCGGUGUUGGUUCACUUGAACUGAAAUGAAAAGAGUGUUACACUCGAAUUUUAUCGAGGUUAUGCUAUGGACAUGGGAGGCGAGCUCGAUCUAUUAUCAGGGCUGUUUUGUCGAGGCACAUUGCGAUCGGGCCGGCCAGUUCGUCGCCGUAUCAACGGAACGCGGAUGACGACGGUCGACGGGCGCGCGAGGGCGCACGGACUCGUUUUGGAUCGAUCGCUCUCUCUCGGUCUCUCUUCGCGGUUGAUUUUGGGCCUGGCUUGCAAUUGGGCCAGGAGGGAUGCAUGGCCUGACGACGAGACAACAACAUUUAGUCCCAUCUCGGUUUACUGCCCUCGGGUAACCAGGCUCAAAUGAGCGGUACACAGCCCACACCUCGGGGUUGGAAGGAGGUGAAACGGACCUAGGUCUACGCUGUUAAAAGUGAGAUCGCCCAGGUUGGGACGAGGGAGUGGGCUCGCUAUCUUGGCCCAUAUUCCGAACACGAAACUUGGGCCCCUCCCACGAAGCUGGGCUCUGACCCCGUGGGGCAACUGGUGGCCUCGUCCGGCCCUCCUUCCGACUCCACCCCCACCUUUUUUUUUGUUUUUUAAAUUGUUCAUUUGGCAGGCCAUGUUGAAGGAACAAACGGGCUGGAAGCCCAGAAGCAACAAUCCGCGCAACCUGGCAGUUCUGUCUGGUCAAAACAAAAAUCCGUGCGCGCGUGAUACUGGCCCGCAUCCGCGCGCGCGGCCGUUUCCCCUUCUCGCAUCGGCAUAACCGGCCACCAUCGGCGCGCCCUCGGUUCCAUUUCAAGAGUUUUGAACCAGUAGGUCGACGGUCGGUCAGCCGGGGCCAAGCCAGACCAUGUCGCCGCGUGACGAUGCCGCCGCCAAGCGCGACCGCCUGAGCGCGCUGCCCGACGACCUCCUCCACCGCAUCCUGCGGCCCCUGGAAGCGCGCCAGGCGGCGCGACACCUCAGCCUCCUGUCGCGCCGGUGGCGGCGCGUGUGGGCGUCGUCGCCCUUCGUCACCCUGAAGGACAAGGACAGCGCCGGCUCGGAGAGGUUCGUGAACAAUCUGCUCCUCCUCCGCGACCCCCUGGAUCUGCAGGUCUUCUGCCUGCAGAAUUGGCAGUGGGAGCGCUUCGCCUGUGGCUGUGCCACGCCCUGAGCCGCGGGCUCCGCGUGCUCGAGCUCGCGCUCCGAGGCGCCAACGCGAUCGGGCUGCCGGACCGCGUCUUCACCUGCGCGACGCUAGAGGAGAUCAGCCUGUCAUCCAGGGCCAGGGAUUUUAUCGCGCCCAAGUCCGCGGUUUGUCUCCCGCGCCUAAAGAAGCUGCACCUUGAGAACGUGCAGAUCGAUCCGUCCGCAGUGGAGAAGCUCAACUCUGGAUGGCCGUCGCUCGAGGACUUGAAUCUGUAUCAGUGCUGGCUUGGUUCGUUCAAGAUUUCGUCUGAAAGUUUGAAGACUCUGUCGAUUACCGCCUGCGUGUACGAUGAGAUCCAUGUUUCUGCUCCUAACGCCGGUUCCCUGAAGAUAACAGUUUCGAGAAGAGUCUAUCUGUCUGCCAUGCCAUCUCUGGUGAGUGCCUGGGUGCACUGUGUUGGUGCAGCUGAUCACCUUGCUCCAUGUGCUUAUGAUCUCAUCGCGGCGCUUUGCAAUGCUCAGCGCCUUGAGCUAUUCAGAUUUGACGUACUCCUCCAGGUGAAAAUCUCUAUCUACACUACUAUUUAACUAAUUAUGACACUUUUUAUGGUAACAUUUCGUAUGCAAUCUUUUGUUGAUCUAUUUUUUUUGGUAAAGGAUAUUGUGCAUAAGCCAGCCACUGAAGGCCUGUCGUUAAGCAAUUUGAAGAGCCUCUACGUUGGAGAAUGGCUGGUCACCGACUUCUACAACGCCCUUGCUUUUUUCAUCCAGAGGGUGCUCCUAAUCUGGCUGCUCUUUCCUUGGAUCAAUGGACGGUAACAUGCUGCACAUCUGCCAUAGGCACUUAUUGUCAUUAGUGACAUUAAACUGAAGACAUUACUCUCUGCUUCUUCAGAACUUGUAUCAAAGUUCAAUGGGAUCGGAGCUUACCCAAAUCACUGUCUAGGGAAACGAAACCUAGUGCUGAUGGCAAGCUGAAACUGCUACCUCCAUUGCCCAGAAACCUUGAAACGCUUUGGAUCAGACUGUCCAAAGGCGACGACGUUGAGGAAUUUCGCAAGAUGCGCAGCGCCUUGAAGGAGAAGACAAAACCCAGAGAGAUGGAGGUGGUAUGGUUUUAAACUCGAUCCACGUGGCCAUUUACCCUGCAUACCAUACCAUGGUGCUGCUGUUCAGCUCUUGAAAUGUUUCCAGAUUAGAGUCUCUGACUGUUUGCAAAGUGUACUUUUCUUCAGAGCCUAAAGAAACCAAACUGUUUCUUGUGAUGAAAUAUCUAUAUAUUCCAAAACACACCCUUUCUGCCAUAUGUAGUUAUGGUAUAACUCGAGCUAGCUGGCUUCAGAUCCGAAGGCAAACAAGGUAACCGAACGCGCCCAAGGAGUUAUCACUACCCUCACGUUCGAACCUCUUCCUCGCGUGCUUCUUGAGUUCUUUCUCGCUCCUCGGCAAUGGCCUGCAAAUAAAACCAUGGAGUGGCUGGAGAACAACUGCAUGCAGGAACAAAGCUCUUUUCAUUCACGGGGUGCACCGCUUAAAAUAAGUGUUUUCCUUUAAACGCAAAAAAAAAUAUGAACUCACUAAAAAAGUUGGCUCAACAGAUCUGUAUACUGUAAAAACCUAAGUCGAUAAAAAAAUUGUCGAUCCAAAAUUUCCUGCAAAAAUAGCUGAAUUGACAUAUCUCCCAUAAAAAAGUUAAAUCACAAAAAUGUUGAGACAACAAAUUUGUGAAAAAAGGUGAAGUCAACGAGAAAAUUUAAAUCAAUAUUUCCUAAAAGAAUAUUACGUCAAUAAAUUUGGUAAGCAAUUAAUAUUGAGUCAAUAAUAUUGAGUACAUGGGAAGGAACGUAAAAAAAAAAG
This 85983-nucleotide long non-coding RNA is filed under the name Setaria viridis. RNAcentral's name for it is "long non-coding RNA (SVIR_LNC000091)". The record is from RNAcentral. Lineage: Eukaryota; Viridiplantae; Streptophyta; Magnoliopsida; Poales; Poaceae.